Molecule: long non-coding RNA, 79395 nt
Filed under: Medicago truncatula (barrel medic)
Lineage: Eukaryota; Viridiplantae; Streptophyta; Magnoliopsida; Fabales; Fabaceae
Description: long non-coding RNA (MTRU_LNC005582)
Rfam family: MIR2593 microRNA precursor family (bases 53445-53557)
Source: RNAcentral
UCCAAAUUUAUGGUUGAAAAAGUGUGGAAGAUGUUCCGUCUAAGGCAAAGUUAUGGUUGGAGGUAAUUUCAACGGAUUCUAGCAACUAGAGAGGCCUUGGCUAAAGGUGGGGUAAUUCAUAACAUGUCAUUAUUAUUAUUUUUGGUCAAGUGAUAUUAAGGAAGUUGAAUUACAAUGUAUGACAGUUAUAGUCUAACCACAUAUGGUCAUCCAUAAAUAAUUUGACGAGUAUGCUGGUGCUCAACAUUUCUUUGUGAAUGAGCAUGAGAACUACGUAGUGGAUAAGCGUUUGAAGAGAGCUUAUUUUCUUAUGUAGGUAUAUGUCAUUUGGUGUGUUUCAUUGGUUUGGAAUAAAAUUAUUUUUCAGGAAGGGGGUUACAGAUUUCAAAAUAAAAUUAUUAUGCAGACAUGUGUAUAUAUUACUAAAGAUUUGUAAAGAAAAAAACAAGAGUUAAUCAGAUCCGAGAAGGCUACCAAUCUUUUUAUUUUCGAUAAAACAAAACUGAAAAUAGGUUUGCAAUAAAUAGAAAAAUAACAAGUCCGAAAUACUCGUCUGACAUGAAAUUUUAAUUACCGUAUCCAAUCCCACUGGAUCAUAAAUAGAACAUUUUGUUGGCAUGUUCUUCAACAGAACCAAGGAGUUCAUAAGCAUUGAAAGAUAAAUAAAUGAGAACUCAGCAUCAAAAAAAGAAUUCUAAAACUCAAACAGGGAAGAGUACGAAGAACUCGUGCAAAAAUCAGAGCAACCAGCACAAGAUCAGGCAAGACCCCCAAAGGGCAAAAUGGGCAGUAAAUCACAGCACAAAAACGAUCAAGUACGAUCACGCAUCCUGGAAGAUGACCAAGUUGAAGAUGACCUUGAACCCCCACCAGAACCAAAUGAGGAAGAAUUACGAUCCCACCUGUCACCAUCCGGCCGGCUGCCACUGUUACCCCAACGAUCUGCUUCUGGAGGAGGAGCUCCUGCUGUUUCACCUCCUCCUCGCCGGAACUUGGGAACAUACUUCCCUGGAGCUGGGGCUGCUGCAGCUGCAGCUGGAGCAGCAGUACCAGGAUCAACUGGACGGACAGGAGGCUCAUAAGGCCUCAGAGCUGGUUCAGCAGGUCUGCCCAACAAUGCUUCCCUCUUCUCCCUCUCAGCCUUUUCUUCAAUUUCUCUAAGUCUUUGUUUUUGCUUUUCAGCUAUCUCAUCCAAUUUAGCUUGGCGUUCAGCCUGUUCCUUCUUUUUUCUCUCAGCCUCUGCAGUUCAGAAACACCGCAUGUUAAUUAAAUACAAAGGAUGAUUAUCUACUGGAUUGUGUGUAAAAGAUGGUACCCUGAUUCCAGAGCAACAUACAUUUUACUAAUUACAAAAGAUUUUUUUUAAUGUAAUGAAGAAAGAAAUGAAAUACAAAAGAUGGAAUUGGAAAGAAAAAAAAAAUCAUAUGACUGUGUUGGCGGAAAUAAAAUAGACACAUUCAACAAGUUUAGUGUUAAUCCUUUCAAUACUAUAUGAAUAUGAUCUGGGGGGAAAAGCUUGGGCACUUAUAUAAUCCAGAAAACAAAUCAAUAACAAUUACCUUCACGCUCCCGAGCUUCUUCCUCCUCACGCAAUUUCUGUCUUUUCUCUUCUUCCACCUUAAGAUAAUACUUCAAUUUUCUCAUUUUUUCCCUCUCCUGUUUCCUGGAGAGUAAAAUCUUAGAGAUCCUGUCCAGCCUGUCUCUCUGCAACCUAUUGAAUUCCGCUUGGCGGUGACUCACAACUCUCUCUUGAUAUAUCUCCUGCAAAGCCAAACCACAUGAUAAAACAUUAUUGUCUGUCUUAUAUGAUGACAAAUAACAUCAAUUGUUAAAAGAAUGGCCAAGAUAUAGAAGAGUAGCCUAAGAGUUUAUGAUACUAACUUUAUUGCCCAUCAUUCGACUAAGCCUCUCCUUCUCAUUGAGAUCUCCAGCAUGGCGCUGUCUGCUUAGUUCAACUUCUAGCUGCAUAAAACAAUGGUCUCAUACAGUUAGUACAAGACAAAAGCUUGUUUAAAUAGAAUGCGGCAAAAAAGAAAAUUUUGUUCCAACUUGAGGAAAAAUGUGUAAAAAUUUAAUUGUUUCCAAUGGAACACAAGUAGACAUACUUGUUGCUCACGCUCAUGAAGAACCCUCUCUUCCACUAAUCGCUGUUGAUAUGCAGCAUCAAUUAGCGGAGCAGCCUCUUCUCUCUUUGCUCUUUCCAAAUGAUCCAUGGUUUUGGCCAAUUUCUGAAGCUUCUUCUCCAUUUCCUGUCUCUCCCGGACUUGUUCGACCAACGUCAACUGCAUCAAGGAUUCCCUAGAAAUUUGGCCCUACAGAUAGUGUAUGGUCAACAUUAGAAGAUCAAAACAAAAGAAGGAACUUAGAGCAUAAACAUUGGGCGUGGUAUAAGCAUGUGUGCACAGCUUGUCAGAAUGGAAACCACUAAUUGGGUUUCUUUACGUGCUGAUAUUAGACCCCGUAUCCACGGUGGCUGUCUUCUAUUAUUUUCUUUAACAAUAAAACCGUGCUUUUGAGUGGCACUUUUCUUGAAUUAAAAUGAUAAAAAAAAUUGUGAGAUUAGCGUUAUAAAUUAUGAAUAAAUUGUAAGAUUAGUGGGAUCCAUUUUAAAAUUUUGGAUGGGUAGUAUGGAUAUUUAAAAAUUUUAGUUGAGUUGUUUAAAUAAUUGAGAAGCGUUAAGUAAUAUAAUAUAUUGGAUUGGAUGGGGUCUAGUUAUACCACAAAUAUGGGGGCAUGGAUGUGGAUACUCUAAAUUGAAAGCAAGCUUCAACUUACCCCUUCUAUCACAGGCUUUUUGCCCUUUCUCUUCAAACGCUUUUCAGCUUCCAGACGUAAAGCCUCGGCUUCUUCUCUGUCUCUUUCCUCCUUUUCCCUUUGGAGUCUUUGAAUUUUCCUCUGCUCAAUCUCAGUUGCAAGCCGCCUUUGCUCUGCUUCUUCAUCAAUUUUCAGCAGUCUCAACCUCUUUGACUCCUCCUCGCGUUCCUUCAAAUUUUCAAAUGGAUACAUAUAAAAGGAAAGUUUAAUCGUUUCAAAUAUUAUUAAAUCCUAAAGAGCCAAAUGAAUAAUAAUUAAUAAACUAAAAGGAUUAUACCUUUUCAAGAAGCUGCCGUUCUUGUUCCUCUUUCCUUUUCUCAAUAAUGGAUUUUCGAGCAAGGAGCCUCUUGUGUUCUUUGGCCACAACCUCUGACAAAGUUGGGAGCAAUGCUCCAAGUUUUGAUUGUUUCCUAUCAGGAGGACAAAUCAUUUGCCUUGCCUUAUUCAAUUGUUCAGCAAAACUAGCCAAGUGAUCCCUCAAGCCAUCAGCUUCAAGACUCUUGAGAUAGAAACCAAGCAAAUUCCGUAAGAUUUGGUCAAAUGAGACAAUACUAUAUAUGUUACAAUUAAUAUGUUCGAUUCAGAGUUUAGAUAAACAACUAAAAAAUUUAUCCAUUCUAAACCACAAGAGUUUAUGUAAACAACUUAUCCUAGGCCUCUGACAUAGGUGCAAAUAAAAUAACAGACUAUUUCCAUGUUGGGAAUAAUGAUUCAGCAGAACCAUGAUUGAACAACAAUCAAAUGUAUUCCUCAAAUAACAUGCCCAAACCACUUAAAUCAAGAAUCAACCAUCUUCUCAGUAAUAUGUGCCACCCCAUUUCUCUCUAUAGUAAUCAUUCCAAAUCCUAUCCAUGAUCCACCAUAACAUUUUUUGUACAAAAACAAAAAAAAUCUUCCUACUGAACUGUGAAGUUUAAAAAUGGCAAUAAUACCAAGAUAAAGGAAAACAUACCGUCUUACAGAAAAUUACAACAUUUUUCAUGUGGUCCACUUUCAUUGAUAGAAAUUUCUGCUUAACAGCGUCUACAGAAAUCUUUUCCACAACCGAAAAAUCAAAGAAAGGGAUCAUCCCAGCUAAGUUCUCAAUCUUCAUUGAUUGGUAAACAUUAGACACCUGAGGAGGGAAGGCAAACAGGUUUAAGUACACAUCAAACAGACGGAUUAAAAUAAAUAACACACAAAAUAACAACAGAAAAGACAAUGCACCUGUUGUAGCAACCUCAAGGUAGCCAACUUUUCAAGAGCUGGGACAUACUGCGAAAAUUGCACCUCUGGAACAGAUGAAGCGAAGGUAAACUUACCCCCCAAUUUCGAAAUUUUAUUUAGCAAGGGUAGUACUUUUAGUGCAAGAUCUGAGGGUAGAAAUUCAUUUUCCAAGAGAUAGUAAAUGUCUUUCACUUCUUGUGAUACACAAGACAUUACACCCUUUGAAGCCUGCAAGCAUUCCAAAUGUAACAACUUGAGACCGAGACUAAAGCAAUUAGUUAUUGCAAUAAUACUAAGUUACUAACCCAGAUGUUAUCCAACCCCUGAACCUUACAGAGUACACAAACACACACACAGACAUAUAUAUAUAUAUAUGUGUGUGUGUGUGUGUGUGUGUGUGUGUUUAAAUAAUGUUUGUGCCCAACCACACCAAAGGUUCAGGAAAUAAUGUAAGCAAUUAUUUUUAGAUAUGUUUAAAAUAAUUACCACAACAAAGAUUCAAAACCAACCCAUGAAAUGCAAAAAUCGAUAGCUGUUAUAAGUUGAAAAUUAAAGAAAUUCAAAUCGAUAUGACCAACACCAAAAAUUUGAAGGACAAAAAUAACGAGUGCAGUUACUCAACUACUUGUUGAAAGCCCAUUCCUUAACAAUAUACAUCAAGAUAACAAAAUUAAAAAUUUAUAUAGGAAUUUCUUUAGAAUUUUUUGUUUCAAAUAAUGAGAAUAUCUUACCAGUUCAGCAAGAAGUGACGACCUUGAGAGCUGGGGAAAGACAAAACAGAAACAAAAACAAAUGGUAAGAAUAGCAAAUCAUAUAUCUAUACACUACUGGGAGUGCAAAUGAGGGAAAGUUAAAUACCACUUCUCUGCUAUCAGGCUUAGUUUCAAGAUUAAAGCCUAUGAGAUUAGCCAUCCUCAAAUUUCGCUCUUUUUCAUGCUCUAGUUCUAAAUGAGAUGCACCAUGAGUGCGAUCAUGAGGAGGCACCGAGAGUGCAGCUAGAACAACAGAUGAAGCUAUUAAUUGCAAAUCCUUUUGACCAAGAUUUUUGUUGAAGCUUUUCUGUAACAAAAAGAGCUUAAACCAUGCAUAAGCAUGAUAUAAAUGACUUGAAGAUUUCCAAAAUAUUUCUGUCAACUUGACAUAGUAAACAGUCAUCAAGGAUGGUUUAGGUGUUUUCUUGACCAUGCACAUUAAUCCAUGAAUAUCUUCAACAGAUCUGAAGGCUUCCUGCAUGCAACAAAAAAUCAGGUCUGCCAACAUCAAUGAAAUAAACACCUUGUGAAGAUUUAAGGAAAAAUGAGAAGCUGCCAACCUGCCAGAGUUCAAGUUCAGUGGCAAUUUUCAGCUGCUCAAAUCUUGUAUCAAGAUACAAUUGCAAGCUUUCAGGAGCAGAAAGGUCAGGCCGGUCUCGUUGGUCCCGAUAUUUGUUAAGAUUAGCCAAAUGAUUUCUGAUAAUUUCACAGAGUCUGCGAAAUUCUGUUGUUCGCUUAUACUGCUUACAAAACUGGAAAGCUCGAUGGGCUGUCAUCUGCAUAUGGCAAUAGAAUCGACUAUAAGUUUGACAUAAAAGUAAAUCUGCCUUGCAUAUUAUUGUUUUUUAACUAUAAAACGUAGAAUGAUAUGAAAUAAAAAAGAAGAAUAAGUUAAUGGGCAACAACAACAUAUAGCCCUAAUGACAAGCAAUUAAUUUCUAUUUAUCAGGAAUACUUACAGCAUAUAAGGCUUCCAAUUUGGAGUUGUUCCGCAAUAUUUCAAGCACUGUCCUGUAAGUUUCCCAUAGAAAUUUAAACCAUGGCGUAACAAGCUCCCGAUCAGAUCUAUCCUUUCCUUUCUCGCCACUAACAUAGCUCAGCAUCAAAUCCUCUGGCCUUUUAUCAGCCUCCAGGUCAUCCACAUCAAGGGCUUCUUCCAAAGCCUGAGCCUGACUACGUGCUUGUUCAGCUUUCUCUGUUGACAGAUGCAUGAAGUGCUUGAUCACCUCCUCCAGUGAGCUAACAUUCACUUGCUGACAUAUUAUACGAUACUGAAUGAGGCCAUCCUUAGCAAAUCGGCCUUUCCUCAUGUCAACACAAAGCUCGACAUACUUAAACAUAAUUCUCUCCAGUGUUUUCUGCCAUGCGCGAUAUCUUUUCGAAGUGAUCAGGUCGUGCAGAGUCUGAAGAGCAUCCUGCUUCUGCCCGACAUUGAUCAACUCUGUAAAUCAAAUUUUAAGUGAUUCAAUUGCAUAAUUCUCUAAAACAAAUGACAAGCUAAGAACACGAAGAAUAGAAAAAUAGAAACUAAAUAGUCAUCUUCUGAACAAACCUUCUGCCCUUUUGAGAGCAUUCUCAGGCUUCAAAAAUGACGUCAUAUUGCAAAUUCACAAAAAUUCAACUCCCUGUAAAUAAGAGAGAGUGAUAAUGAAAAUUAAAAAAUAAUAAUGAAACAAAAUGUAAUCCAAAAACAACUGUAAAACACAAAUUCACAUCAGAAUUAUCUAGAAAAAUUGUAAAUCUCGCAAGAUUAUAGAUUUGAAUCACGUUAAACCAAUGUCAUUCAUAAACUAAGACAUCAAGUGAAAUUGCCACUAAAUGUAGCAGAAAUUUAAGCGAAAAUAACAAUCAAACAGAUAUUCAUAUGAAAAUUCUCUAGGAAAAAACGCCAAAAGAUUGUAAAUUACAAUCACGAUAAGGUGAUGAUAUUCAUAAUAAGAAUCAUGCUAAGCCAUCAUCUUCGUGUAAUAUAAUUAGCUGAGCAGAUUAACUGAAAAUAGCGAUAAUCAAAAUAAAAAAAAAAAAAACAAUAAUAACAGUUAAACACAAUUUCAUAUCAAAAUUCUCUACAAUAGUCAAAUCUCGCGGAAUUGUAAAUUAGAAUCACACUAAACCGAUGAUAAUCAUAAACUGAAAAUCAAGUGAAUCAUCUACAUCUAAUUAGCUGAUUCAAAUUAACCAUUAACAAUAAAACUGGUAUUAUUGGAAUACAAAAAUAACGAUAAUUGAAUCAGUUUAUAUCGCAAAUCGCACAAUCUCAGAAUUGCGUUGCGGAGUGGAUCUCUUCUCAAAAGGAAUUUCCCGCGCACCGUCGUUCAUAACGGCCGGGAAACGCGCCGGAAUCGCAUCGUCGAGAGUGGAAAGAAAAUCGAAAGAAAAAAAAAAAAGGAAAAUCUGAACGUACUUCGUAACGGUUUGUCGUUGUCGAUGAAAAACAGUGGUUUCGUUUCCGUCCAGCUUUUGCUUUGUUACGAAGAAAUUGAGAGUUGAGUGCGUCUUCUUCUUCUUCUUCUCAAACUGGAUGCAAGUGCGCAAAAGCUCAGCGGCUGCUUAUCGGUUUUGUUGCGUUAGGGUUUUAAUGGUAAAAGCUUAUUAUGGGCCUAAGAAAAUUGAAUUGGGUCGGGUUUGGCCUCUUCAAAAUGUUAUGUAUUUUUUAACCCAGGAAAAUAAAUAGUAUGAAAUAACAAAUAUUGAAGUUUAUCGUAAAAAAGAAACAAAUAUUACUUUGGUUUUGACUCAUCAUUAAGACGUAGAUUUUUUUUUACUCAUUAAUGAUGUAGAAACUGAAAAAAUAUUAAUAUCAAAACCGAAAUAUUCACAUUCAGGAUGGAGCCAGAAAUUUUUGCUAGAGGGGGCGAAAAUAAUUCAUGUAAUGUCGAGUCAUUUGCUUGGUUUGAAAUCAAUUAAUCACUUUUGUUUUAAAUUUCUGAUUUCUGAAGAAAAAAAGCUUUGGGAGUUAUGAGAACGUAACAUGAUAAUAAAUCACAUAAAGUCUGAUCGUAUAUUUUUUAACUUAAAUAAUGUAUUUUUUUCUUUUGCUAACAUGAAUAAGAUGCCUUAUUUUACCCUCUCAAACAAAAAGAAUACUACUAAUUUCAAAAGAGGCGAAUGUAAUGAAUUUUUUUUCUUUCUAUUAAGCAAUACACAAAAAUUAAUAUCAUUAUAAGAAGAUGACUAAAUGUGAGGCACUGGAUAGAAUACUUGUAUAUAUAUGUACCAAGUGACGUGGAAAGGAAUUGAAAUUAGAGUGUAUUGAAAAGUACUAGAGUGAUGCAUGUAAUUGUAGUUCAACUAAUCCUGUUUCACAGGAGUAACAUUCUUAUUUCUUUAGGGGGACGAGUAUGAGUUUCGGUAUAUAUUUGUCAUAAAUUUCUUGUAUUUGGGGGUGGCGACUGCCCCAAAACAAAUAUAUGUAGCUUCGUCCACAUUUUCUAUCCUCUAACUAAUGCACUCUAGUGUUGUUAGAUUAUUUUCUCCAACUUCCGAAAAUUGGAGGUUAUCACAUGGCAAGUGAUUUCUCUCGUGGAUGUUUGUUUCAAGUUUAAUAAAACAUUCUUGAAAAUGUAUUAAUAGGGAAUUAUUAUGUUCAUAUUUAUUGUAAGGUUGAGAAAAAUAUUUUUGGAUAUAAAUCAAAGUUUAUUGGAAUGAACUAACUUCUCUUACUCUUGUGGAAUCAUUCACAUGUGAGAAAUUGGAAAUGUGCAUUCAUGUGAAAUUAUAUAUAGAAUUUUUUAAAAAUGUCAAGUUAAUAUAGGACCAAUAUUAUACAAAAUCCUUAGGUGGUAGUGUGCUUGUUUGAAGAAUCGGAUUGGGUAACUGCCAGCUGGUGUGUGUGGUUUAAGGAGCUAAGGAGGCAUAUUUGAUUCGAUUCUUAUUACACUUGCAUUCAAGAGUCGUUUGGUUCUCUAUUUAUUUGUUUUUGUGCAGGUGGUGUUUGUAGUAUCAGUUUGAGGCAUUGGUGUGUGAAUGUCUCUAUAUUGCUGCAGACUUUGUAAACAUUGUUUAUUCUAUCUUGACUCUUAGCAAUUUUUCUCGAGCAUUUCUUAUAUUUGGAUUUUUCAAGAGUUUUUUUUUAUUUUUUACUAUCGGAUAUUAAGAUUCAAAUUAUACGUGGUUUGAUUUAGAUGACUAUUUAAAACUCACUAUCGUCAAAUUCAGUUAAAUGUGGCUUAGAUCAUAUCAAUUUUCGAUUAAUUUAAUUUAUAAUUGUAAGAUAUUCUUUGUAUUUGUAGGCAACUUAAAAUACCAAAAAAAAAGGUUUGUCAAAAAAAAAAUUAAGGUUUGAAGUUUCCGCGGCAGUUAACUGCAGUCGGUUUCUGAAUUCCUCGACAGUUAACUGCCGAGAGGUAUUUUGGUAUUUUACUGGUGUGUUUCAGCCCUAUUAGAUGUGUACACAACAAUUUUCAUGCUUCUUUUAAUGGUAAUGUUAAUUGUUAAUGAAUAUUUACUAUUUUAUUUGGAUUUGAAUUCAUAGUCUCUGACUCAUUUAACCAUUAGCUCAAACUAAUUGAACUAUCCAAUCCUUGAGGAUAAGCAUAAAUAUUUUUUUAAGUGUUAUUCGAGCACCAAAGUCCUCGCUGUCUUGGAUUAAGACAACAUUUCCUCACCCCAAACUUUUAUUAUCUAAAAAAAAACACUCGGUACUUGAACUUUGAUAUGUACCAUUGGAUAGUGGAAUGACUCAUGAUCUACUUCAACAUUUAAUGUUUGCUUGGUUCGUGAGGGAUUUGGAUUCUCUCCAUUGAAAUUUUUCUCAGAUUUUCUCCAUUUUUAAUCUCCAUCAUUAAAAGCCAUUAACCACUUUUUUUUAUACAAUUUAACUCUCAUUUUCUCUCUCAUAUUUAAUGGUUAAGAUUUCACUUGAGAAAAAUUUCAAUAGAGAGAAUCCAAAUCCAUUCAGAAGAGGGGUUGGGAGGAGAUAAAUUUUAAUGGAGGGGUUGGUAGGGGAUUAAAAUACUCAUUAUGCUUGGUUCAACAUUUAAUGUUUGCUUAGUUCAAGAGAUGAUGACCUGGGAGGAUUUUAAUUACAUUUAUGUUUGGUUCAAAAUGGAAGUGGAUAGAUUUUAAAACUAUUUUACCUUCUUAUCUUUAUAAUUUUUCGAUAGUCUCGUGAUUUUGAAACUGUGACUCUUCGGCACUAAGACUUUUUGGACAUUUUUUUUUUUUUUGUAAAAAAUAAGAAAUAAAUUAUAUAAUAAUCAGUAGCUUCAAUAAUAUUGAUGGUUUCAUAAGUCUCGAAUUCAAUGGAUUUUAGAUGGUGUUGGAAUGUCAUCCAUGCGUUACAGAUUUGAUAAAGAUAACAAAACCACUUUUCAUGUUUUAAGGGAAUACCCUGAACCACUCUUCAUGAUCUAGUUAGUCCCUUCUAAUAACAUUACUAGUUUUUUCUUCUUCUUUUUUUAAUUGUAAGUACUUGAUUUUCAAGAAUAUCAACAACCACUUGCAUGAAACUCAUAGUAAGAAGUGGACAACUACUUUUUUGGGUGGAUUGCUGGCACAUAUGUAUAUGGAGGAGCAAAGUUAUCUUUGAAGAUGAUUUUCAACGACCAUUCAAUGCAAUCUCCAUUGUCCUUGAGAUGGUCGAGGACAUAAACAAUUGUAACCACUACCCUAUGAAUAUUUGCCUCGAAGACGCCAUUUUUAUUGGUUGGGAAAGGCCCCGGGAAUGGUGGGCCAAGCUUAAUUGCGACGGAGCCUAUGAGGACACUCAAAUGAUUAUUCGGUGUGGUGGUCUUACACGACACUUUUACGAGAGAUGGCUAAUCGUGUACUCACGUAAAAUUGGAACCUGGGAUACUCUUAGCGCCAAGAUGUGGGGAUGUACUUGGGUAUGUAGCUUGCUUGGAGACGUGGUUUCCGUUGUCUUUAAAUUGAAAACGACUCAAAAACUAUGGUUGACGUGAUCAUGGAGAAUGUCAAAAUUAACGACAAACCGCCUAUUUUGGUGUGAUACACUCGAAAGCUUUAGAGUUGGAUCAACAAGUGUAUUUCAAUUAAAUUAUACCUAGAGGGAGGGAAAUAAAAGUGUCGAUUGACUUGCUAACUUUAACUUUUUUCUAAACUCUUUUCAAAUUAUUGUUAUGAAUACUAUUCCUAAUAAGAUUUCAACCCAUUUUUUAAUGAUAUUUUUAGGGUUUGCAUGCUUAAAAAUAUUGUUGAAACAGUGCAUUUCUCUAUCUUUUGAGUUUUGACUCUCUUUUACUAAAAAAAAAACUUUUACAAAAAUCAUCUCAACAAGUUAAAUAUAAAUAAUUUUGUGAAUGUUGGUUUAUAAAAUCUUGGCUUUUCCUACCCUACACUACAUCUCAACCUCGCCCUACUUAUGAGGAGCAAUACUAUUAGGUCAACUAGAACAUUCGGCAGGUGUUACACCCCUAAGUUAGGGUACGUCCUACAAACAUUUUUAAGGUAUCUCGACAUCCUCGUCAUCACCGUGAAACCUCAAACUAGGUUAGUUUCUCGUCGGUGGGUGAUUCUGUCUGAUUCCGUGCUUCAGGUAACAAGAUAAGAUGGCAUUUUUCUUUGGAUUUCACCGCUUGCUUCGUCACUCUCAAUCCCCACUUGUUAGCUCCCAUUUCACUUCCAUUCGUCUCAAUUCAACUCUCACUUCCCCCAAACUCUUCAUUAGCGGUAAUUACCCCACCCCUCUUAACAUUUCUCUACCAUAUUUCAAUUUUAUGCAUUAAAUUAGAUUAAUAUUGUUAUGAUGCACUUGUGUUACACCUAAGUUCCAGUUUAGAUUAGAUUCUUAAUUUAAAGACCUUUUCAAUUAACACUAGUUUAUGGUUUUUUCACUUUACAAAAGGGUCAUUAAAACUGCAUUUCUGUCAGCCUUGCCCUGAAACUAGUUACAUUUGAAGUGGACUUUUUUAAAAAAUUAAUAAAUUGUAUUACGGCUGUGCUUGUACCCUUGAAACAUGAAAUGUUUUCCUUUAUUAAGGAAGCAAAACAGUUAUGGCUGCGUGUUUUACAUCUUCAAGGGAAACUCGAACUUCUUGUGUAUUGAUUGAUUUCAUGGUGUCACUGACUCUCUUUGGCAUUCGGCACUAUAUCUUUUAUUAGAUGUUUCUUGAAGAACCAACGCAAGAAUAAAAUCAGCGUACAUGAGAUGAGAAUGUUAGGGGGAUGUGUGGUAAAAUCAGAUGUGAGAGAAUUGGGGUAGCACUUAUAGUAGAAAAGAUGGUGGAAAAUAGGCUUAGGUGGUUUGGGCAUGUAGAGAUAAGACACGUAGAUUUUGUGUGAAGGAGAGUAGAUCAAAUGGAGGAUUGUUAGAUCCCUGGAGGCAGAGGAAGACCCAUAAAAACUAUAAGACUAAGAGAAACUAUUAAGAAAGACUCAGAGAUUAGUUAGUUGGACCAACAUAUGGUCUAUGAUAGAACAUUACAGCGUAAGUUGAUCCGUGUAACCGACCCCACUUAACGGGAAAAGCUUGGUUGUUGUUGUUUCUUGAUAGAAAUGUAGGGGAAUUAUAGAGCUCUCUUACUUUGUUUGCUUUUUACUUGAUAUUUUGUCCGAACCUCCUUAUAUUUGCAUUCAUACUUUCCAUCAAUUUUAAUUGAACAUACGUUGUGGAAGACAUGUUGAUUCGGUUGCAAAACAUUGUAAAACUAGAAAUUGGUUAAAGUGGUAAAUGUUUUGUAUAUAAAUGGAAGAAGGGAAAAUUUAUGAAACUCUUCAGGUCAAAUAUACCUAACUUGAUUUUUUAUUGAAAUCGUUGUUCGUAGCAACAAUGAUCUACUCAAGAACUAAAUUCUAGUAGAUAUCCAGCAUGGUUUAUUCUGAAUGAUUGUGGCCCAGAACUUGUUUUAGCUUACGUGAAUCAUGAACUUUGACCAAAACAGUUUUCUGGUGUAUUUCGCAUAUGCUUCAAUAACUCUACAAGCUGCUUAUUUGACGUUGUUUGCUGCAUGAAAUUGCUAUGUGUAUAAUGCAUGUAUAUUCACAAUACCUGUUGCUUGUAUAUGAUUUAUUUUUUAAACUCGUAAGAUUAUUAUAUAUUUAUACUGUACGGUGCAAAAUACCUGAAUUUUGUAUGUAACAUUUUAAAAUUAGAAAAAUAUGCAUUUCAUUGUAUUUGAAAUUUUGAACAGGUCUUUCAAGACUGACAACAGAUGAAAAACUUACAGAAGCAUUUUCUCCUUUUGGACAGCUGUUGGAAGGUAAUAAUGAGAAUUUUAUUAUUAGCUUUGGCAUUACUCGAUUAUAAUAUCCUUAUUUUGCUUGAUGUGCAUUGCGUUUGACCUUCAAUCAUUUUUAUUAUACAGCUAAGGUGAUAACUGAUAGAGGCUCUGGAAGAUCGAAGGGUUUUGCUUUUGUAUCUUAUUCAACCAUAGAAGAAGCUGAGAAGGCAAGAGAAGGCAUGAAUGCUAAAUUUUUGGAUGGUUGGGUUAUAUUUGUUGAUCCUGCCAAACCAAGAGAACCCAGACCUCCUCAGCAGUCACAAUCUCAGCCGUCUCAAACAGGCUUCACCGUAAAUAAGACCGUUGGGUGGUGUGGUUGAUGAUUGAAGAAACUUGAUUGAUUAUUCUCAUGUGUUGAGGGUAAUAAUAAUAAUAAUUUAAGGACCAUAUUAUUCAGCAUAGCCAACUAUACUAUAAAAAAAUUUGUGCUAAUCAGUGAUAAUUGAUUUUUGCACUUUGGCCAUAAGGCAUUAUUUUUAUUGUUUAAAAUUUUGAUGUCAAAUUGGAAACUAAAUGCUAAGUUUUCAUUGCCAGUAAAUUUUUCCUUAUAAUUAAUUGUAUUAUUGACAGAUAGCUGCUAGUAAAUUUUCAUUCCUAUGGUCAAAUUAUGUUUCAAGUAUUAAUUAGUUGUUGUCCUUAAUAUUUUUUUAUUUUUUUUGAUUAAAUACUUUCCUUCAUCUUUGACAGAGGUAGUUUUUCCUCUCCAAACAUGUAUGCAUCUAAAAUUCUGAUUGAUUGAUUUACUUAUUUGAUGGGCAUAUCAUAUUUAUUGUUGCUUAUUAUUGUGAUACUGAAGUAUAUACUCAACAAUUGCCCAUUUCAAUUCUUUGUAUAGGACUACCUACGUCAAUCUUUGGCUUAUUUAGACUUUAAAGUUUUUUGUCUGGCAGAGGGACUUGUGUUCUCUGCCUAUCACAAUAGUUAUGGAAGUUAUAUGAAGUGCAGUGUUUCCCUUGGCAUCCACCAUAUUAGCAAGUAAAUCCUCAACAAUUGCCCAUUUCAAUUCUCUGUGUUCUCAUCAAGCACCUUGAAUAUAUUGGCAUUUUCGUCCAACCAUAUAUGAUGCACCAGAGAUAAUGUAGGAUUACUGCUAAAGUUGGUAAUGGGACGAAUGAAUCCAAAGUUGCUUUUAUGAGAUUUGGAACACAUGUCUAAAAGGAUUGUUCAAUUACUAGCUUCUUCGAUCAAUAACAUAUGCAAUAGUUACGAGAAUAUUAUGUAUGCCCGCAUAAUUUUGAUUCCUGCAUAAAGACCCAAGACUAGGAGAAAUUUAAUUGGGCUACCGAUUCGUCGAAUAAACCACACAUUAAGUGAAAGAAAUAUGAGUGCGGUUAAGUUAGCUGUGUUUAUUCUAACACAGGAUUCUUGUGUCCAUCACUCCAUUAUUAUAGAGAUCCUUUCGUGUCCAUCACUCCGAUUUAAAGGUCCUUCCAAGGGAACUACAAAGUAUCUUGUUUGACGAAGUUUUCAAGACUUGCAUGCAUGUCUAGGAAUAUUUGUUUAAUUUCGUUGUUUUUUUUUUGUCUUUGACAUUGCCCUCUUUUGUGUACCAUGACUUGCCUUGUAUUUGUUAAUCUCUCAUGUCGUAUAUAAUUCCCAUAGGUGGUAAAGUUGCUCAAAUGACUAGAUUGGAUUUCUCAAGUCCAUACAUUUACCAUUCUUAAAAAUAAAAUUUGAAGGAUUUAUCAAAAAAAAAAAUCAACGGAAAAAUAAUUCAAAAAUCAACCUAGUUGGUUUCACUGUGCUUAGGUACCAAGACCAUUUUACAUUUAAUUGCUUCUUUUUCUCACCCUGUGAGUUUCUCGCAUGUCCUAUGCAAUUCGGAUUAUAGAAUUUGAACAACAUAAACACCCAAUAAAAACCUCCAAAAACAUGUCUAAAAGGAUUUUCUUGUAAUAUGAGAAAAGUAACGACCUUUCUAUUUUGGUUUGGCCCGUGAACCAUGCUAAAUGGGUCAAAUAUCUACUUUGGCCGGAUUAACGAAACGAAAUGAAAUGAAAUGCAGAGGGCUUGCCAUUGGCAAUACAACAAUUGCUCUUUUGGAUCCAUGAAAGCCUAACGACAGUUAACUACCGUUUGAAAACAUUUUUUAAAUCAGAUGAACUGAUUUAAAAAGUGUCACAAAUGAUUUCAAAAGUAUCGAACAGUUGUCUAAAGAGCAAUAGCCCAUCAAUCUAAGUGAAUUUCUUAUCACAACAAGAAAUUCGCACAUGUCAACAAAAACGUUUAUCUCCAAAUUUCCUUUAUAAUACAUAAGCCAUAAAAGCAUAAAAACUACAAAAGACUCGCAACAAAAAGCUUGUUCCACAUUACAAACAAAAAUGUGUUGCUGAACAUCAAGUUGAUAUGAAGAAAACAGCUUCAAUCUGCCUGUGAAAGGUUCAGAAAUCUCACACCAUACAAUCCCAAGCUUUUCACUAUAUAUACAAGCUAACAAGAAGACAAAAUUUUAUUUAUGCACAUGAAAUAGGCCAAAGCAUUCAAGCUUUUUUACUCAUUGUGCUUCCGCAACCGAGUAAUGCACUUCUGUAACAGAUUUUUUCAAGAAACUACUUCCGCAGUUUGAAUCUUGGCUACAAACAUCAAGAGAGUCAAAUUCAGAGGAACCUUCAAUAACUUGAGAAUCCCACGACUUACUGCACAGAUCAGAUUGCCCACAAACAUUGCGAGACUGCUUCUUAUCUUUCCCAUUGCCUCCUCGGGUUGAAUUUCCCUUGUUACCUUUCUUUGCAUUUUUCUUUUCAUUCUUCUUUUUCCUGGAUUUCGGCUGUUUCUUGUUUUUUACAGUGUGCGACACUAGUGUAGGUACAGGAUCAUACACAUCAGCAGCCCAUUUCACUGUCAAUUUCCCAUGUGGUUCACCGUUUUUAUCACGGCUACCUUUCAAGGCGGAUUUAAGCUCUGAAGGAGCCUGUGAUGUAAAAUACAUAGAAAAAGGAACCCGUUAAAAAAAAUGCAGUCUAAAAUAAAAAAAAAUGGAACUCUACAUAAAGAGAGAACCACAUCUUCAUUGUCUGAAUAACAAAAAGAACGGUGUAUUCAAAAACAUUAGUUUAACACUGUAUUGAAUAGGUAAAUUCAAUAGGUAUUCUUAAUAGAUCGACAGCAUCAAUUAAUAGACCAACAAAUCAAUACCACAGAUGGAAUAAGAAACCAAUUAUUGAGGUAAAACGGCAGCCUUUUCAAAAUAGAAAUUAAGAAGCAUAAUUGCUUGAAACCAAUACACAUAAACAUCAUUAACUCCAACAUCGUAACAUGAAAAACUUACAGGCAGAGAUAUCGAACGAGAGUAAGCUUGAUGAGCAGAAUGCUCAUUAAGUGAUUCUGUAACGGAUGAAUCAGCAUCCUCGUCAGAAGAGCUUGAAGGCAACAUCACAUGAGGAGUUGGAAAGGUUGCAGAUUUAUUCAAACACACCUUGUUAGGUUUUGAUUUUUUCUGUUUAUUAACCCCACUUAAGUUUUCCUUGCCUACAUUGCACAUCGCAUCCCCCUCAGACAAAUGCUCAGAUUUCUCAGUAUCUUGUAUAUGCAAUGACUCGCUAAAAGUGCUUUCGAGAUUACUUAUGCAGUUCUCGUGCAUGUCAUUAACAGAAGAGCACACUUCCAUAGAGUAUAUCAGACUAUUAGGAACUAUCACUAAUCUGCAUGAUGAACAUUGAAAAAUUAAACCAACAGAAAUAUAAAUCUGUAAUAUUUUGGCUAUAUUGACUUCUUGAUUACGGAAAAAAACAGAAGACAUCAUUGCAGAGUUACUAGAACAGCGAACAGUUCAGACCUAAUUGGAUAAAUAUACAACUUGCAGCCUAUAGCACAAGCAAUAAUCGUGCUGAGCGCUUAUGUAAAUGCUAUUUCUAUAGUAAAAUAUAAAAUAGUCAAAAUGCUUUCAUAUAAGCUCGCUUGGAAAAUUUAUGAUAAUAAGUUGUUUUCAAAUUAUGAACAAUGUCAGAAGAUGUUUUCAUAAAACUCUCUCAAACAGUCUCUCACAAAGCAUAUAUCACUAGAUAAGCUCAAGUAAGUCAAUUUAAACAAGCCCAUAAUAAGAACUCACUGGUUUUUAUUAACGACAAUUUGAAAUGAUAAUCUACAUGUGUAAUAUGAAUAUCCAGAUAAAAUAAAUUUUUCUUCAGCUUAUGUUUUGAACUAAGAUUUGUAAAAAGCCUAAAAUAUACUUCACAUUAGAUGUUUAUGUUCAAUGUGCAUGAAAACCUACAAGCUAGAAUUAGUACCCCGAACCUAGCUAGCUCAAACAAAUGUUACAUGACAUGAAGAUAUAGUUCACAAUUUAUAAAUGAUUGCAUGUAAAUUUCACCGACACAUACAUAACAAUAAAUUAUGACACCAUUUUCAUAAUCAUCAGCAUUCUUAGCUAAAUGAUCAAACUAUGAAUAUGAGUCAGAUCUAAUCAAACUAAGAUGAUAUUGAAAAAUACCUUAAAGACGAAGUUUAAAGCUGCAACAAUCUCAAACCAAGAAAAUCACUAGAUCCCCGAUUCUUCAAACGAUCAACUUGUACAACGUUUAGAGCAGAAACAACAAUAACAAUAACAACUACUAGGAUGAAAAAUAUGAACCCAAAACAGAAAAACAAAAAAGGAAAAUGUUGAUGUUAACUAAGAUUACCACGUCUAUCACUUUUUUCAAGAGGUUUCAAACGAUGAGAAGAAGAUCCAUUAUGAAAAUUGUUGAAAAAAGGAACCAAAUGGUUAAGAAGAAGAAGUUGAAUAGGCACCGAAGGCAUUAUGAAAUGCUCUUCGAAACCCUCCAAAUAGUUUGACACCCAACAAAACCAAACAACGUUGAAUCCAAAGAAAAAUCGAUUUUCAAAUCAAAAAACCCCAACACAAAACAAAAACCUAUGACAUUAAAAUCAUAACAACAUAACAUAAACUUUAACCCAUAGAAAAAUGUACUAAAAAUAAAAAUAAAGGAUAAAGUUAGAAAAAUGGUGGAUCGGGAAAAAAAGCGUGAUGGAAACUGGAUUAGGUUGUUGGAAUCGGAUAGGGAAGAAAAAUGGGUUUUGUGUAUUUAUGGUGAAAGAAUCUAGAAGGUCAGGAUUAAGAAUCAAGUUGUCUCUCAAUCUCCAACGUACACGUUUCAAUCGUCAAUAAAACCCUUAGAUAUUUUUGGUAGUCUUCUUCUCCAGUUGCAGGCAGUCCAUCAAUAGCCCUAUAGUCUAGACCCAAUAUUACUCCAUGUGAGGCCCACGUGUAUUAUCAUAUGAAAAUAACAUCUUGUCUUGCUUGUUCAAAAGACUCUCACUUACACAUAAAAAUCAACCCUUUUAAAUUUAUUCAUUUAUUAAAUGAUGUAUUUGAUUUAUAAUAAAGAUUGUAUACAUAAUUAGUUAAAUGAAUUUAAAAUGUUCUCUCUUUGGUCUCAUUUAUAAAAAACAUUUCACUUUUUUUAUUCAUUGCUUAAAUGAUGUAUUUGGUCUAUAUUCUAAACCAAGUACAUUAAUUUCUUAAUGAAUCUAAAAAGUCAAUUUUUUUUCUUAUACGUUCUUAAUUUUAAAGCAAAUAUGAAAUAUGGAUCGUUUGAUUUUAAUCAAAUUGUCGAUGUAUUCAUGAUUGCAUGGAGUCGUAGAAAUAAGAUUGUAAUGUUUGUUAUUAAAGAAACCUUUUUCCUAGACCAAAAAAUAUUGGAUGUUAGCUCUUACCAUGUAACAAUGUUAAAAUUCAUGAUGGAGUUUUAGCGUAAAGUGUGGUUCUACUUGAUUUGAGAUAUUACUAUUUAUAGUUCACAUAGAGGAUAUUUGGUUUACACCAAAGAAAGUCGUGAUGUUAUGCUGAAAUUUAAUAUAAUCGUUAAAUCAAAUAGUCAUUGAAGUCAAAGGCUAAUAAGCUUCUUUCACUAGACUCUCCCCCAUCCAUCAAAUACAAUCAAACAAAAUUGAUGUAUUUGGUUUAAUUUUCAGAUCAAAUACAUCAAUUUUUUAAUUAAAUUGCUUAUAUUGGUCAUGGGGUACCUUUCAAGAGAUAGAAGUUCAAUUUCUGACUCACAUAAUCAUUGAAUAUACUUUACUUACUGCCAACAUAACUUCAUUUUAUCAGGAUUCUUCCCUUCUGAACUUAAAGGCUAACUCACAAUUAAAAUCGUUGUUUUGGACAAAUAAGCAUGUAAUUUUGUUUCAAUUAUUUUAUUUAUACAUUUUCACAAUCCUUUAUUCCAUUUUACGUUGUAUGUAAUCGACUGUUGUUAUCAGUUCUCCCUAAACUUGAGUUGAGUCCAUACAGUGGAUAAUCUGUCCUUUUGAUAUGCCUCCUGUUUAUGAUCUAAGGAGACCUUUAUAGAUUCAAUUCAAUAUGGUUUUCUACCCAAGCAAACCAAAUUUGAGUUACAGAAUCUCAAUUUUGAUGAUUGUCCAUAAUGAGCUUAGCAAGUAAUGACAGAUGCAAACUGCCAGUGCUCAUAAAAGUCACUGUCUGAGGCAGAAAAUUUGCAAGAGGCAAAAAUAAAGAAAACACAGUAAAGUAACAUCACUUGGUUGAGCACACUAUUCCUCCAGCAUUGGGUCAGAGUUCCUAAAAAGAAAUGGUGUGAACCUGCAAAGUGGCGUGAUUUUUCGGCUUUGCUUUGUUGAUAAUCUGGACCCUAGAGUCCAACAGGUUGUGCCAAGCUGGGCAUGCAAAAAUAUAACAGUGACUUGAUGAAAAAGGCACAUGUAAGAGGGGCAAAAAGGAUAGGCAAAUACAGAAAUGAACAGAAACUCGAUCAGGAAACAAGGAACACGAGACCAGUUUAACACCAGAUAGGAAGUAGCAUUUUAAAGUCACAUGCAUUCCCAGCAAUAAACAAGAGACAUGAUUCACAUUCUAACUCAUGUUCUAAAAUUACCAGAGUCAGAUGUUUAUGAACCUAUGGGAGUGGGACUAAAAUUAUAAAUAUAACUUGCCAUCAAACCAGAUAUUUUGACAUAUUUUUCAGACAGUGUUGUGUCAAACACUUCAGUGCAUUGCAGUUUUAUAAUGUAAAUAUAAUCAACUAAUAAUAUAGAAAAUGAUUCAGUGGGAUAUUGAUUCAUAUCAUCUGAUAUAGCAAAACUUGUCUCACCUAGAUCUUGUAUCUUUCAUUCUUUUGCAAUUGUAUUGAUGUGGACAUCGUUGUUGUAUCAUGCCAAGCUUGGAAAUACAUAAUAUGAAGGUUAAUAAACCUCAACUUUGAACAUUAGUCUCACUUUUGCACCCACAGCUAUGCCAACUCUUGCAUCAAUGAUGGUACAACCGGUCGUGGUCUUAGUUGAAAAAGCCAACAUUCACUGAGGAGAAAUUUGCUAAUCAUAAACAAAAACAAGAAAAGAGGGCUUCAUGCAAUUUUACAUAUCCAAAUGUUACUUUCAUACCCAUAACUCUAUAUACCAGUGUACAAUAAUUCUGCUGGUACACCUUAGUCACUACCUUCCUUCCUGUAGUCUUAACUUUUUCCGUGUUUCAUAGUUUUAAACCCACCCAAAGGCCAAGAUAAAUAAGGGACAACAAGUGCAAAGACAAAUUCAAACUUUUCACAAAUGCUUACCCCAAGCACAGCAACAGGUAAACAUUUGAGUGUGAUGUAUUUUAUUAUUUACAAAGAUUAAAAGGAGCCUCCAGCAACAUUACACAAAUGGGGACAAGAAACAAAUCUCACCAAUCAUAUCAUAACCUAUUGAAUAAUCCGCUUAACAAGAAAUAAUCAAAUAGGCACUAGCACAAAGAAAAUAUAACCUUCAUCUUAUCUAAAUAAUGUGCAGCAAAAAAAUAAAAUAACACACGUGGUAGAAUAUUAAACAACGUCGCAGCAAUCGUAUUCACAAACACCAAACAACAAGAAAGGAAGUAUAUCAUAAUUAUCAUUAAAACACAUUAUUUUACAUAAUAUAGUCUUCAUAAAAGAAGACCCUGAUUAAAAUGAAGAUCAAUUUAGGAUAAACUAAACCCUAGAUUUGAGAAAAAGGGAAGAGCAUAGAAUAUAAUUCAAGAACUGGUGAAUCAAUUUAGGAACCAUAUUUAUACUUUUUCACGAUCCUUUUUUUCUCUCUCCUAUUUUUAAUGAAAACUCCACUGUAUGCAAUCAAGUGUGUUAUCAGUACAGACUGUACUCCCUAAAUGCAUAAUUUUUUUAAUGAGCUAAGCAAGUAACGACAGAUACAAACUGACAGUGCUCAUAAAAGUCAAAAUAUUCGUCUAGAGGCGGCAAAAUUUCAAUAGUCAAAAAUAAAGAAAACACGGUAACAUCCCAUUGUUGAGGAAACUAGUUACACAAUCACAGGUUAUUAAACGAAAAUCCACAGUGCCUAAACUCUCACCAAUGGAAAAGAAUCAUCCUUCCAGCAAAUAAAAUCUUGUUUCCUCUGCAAAGCUCCACAUUAAGUUAGCUUUUACAAAGGUCCUAGUUAUUGAACACACCACCUGCACCAUCGAGCAGAACGAGAAUGCUUAUCGUAAGCAUUGUAUUCAAGUCGAAGGAUAAACAGCAGCGCCAGCCCUCUAGAGUCUUUAGGGCCACAUAAUUCCUACAAAGAAACAGUUCUACCCUAUCUUUUAGGUGUUCCAUACCUAGACCCUAUUAGCAAUGCUAAGUAGUAUGUUUGAGUAUUCUAUAAUUGUCUUAAACUCAUUCAUUUUAGGCAACUCAAUGUCAAUAAAUUAAGCGAUUGCAUUUUCCAUAUCCUUUUAUUCCCUACAUAUUUUUCCUUUAGAUAAUCCCAGAUUUUAUUUACUAAUAUUUAGACUCAUGAUCCUUGUGAAAAGGGUUGUUGAAACACCGGGAAAACAAAGUUCCAACACAGUAUCUUGACAUAAACAAUUCAUUGAUAAUCUGUACCAGCCUAACAGACUGUCCCGAGCUGUGUAUGAAACAUGUUUAUUUAACAAGAGACUUACAGGAGUACUGAAUAUAACUUGAAAUAAAACCAGACAGUGUUUCUCAUGCUUAUUAAUCCAGAAACAAGCAAGCAAAUCAUCUGUAAACAAUAUAGCAGGUAACAGUUCGAAAAAGCUAUGGUGCAAUUUGGUUAAUAAACCUCAGCUUUCAACAUGAGAUAGAGGGUAGUAGUAACUCUUUUGCAACCACAAGCAUGCAUGUCAUGUUUUAAAUUGAUAAUUCUUCAAACUAUUGUAGUCCACAGAUCACAAAAGCCGCAGCUAAAUAAUGUGGUUACCAUUCAGUCAUUCACCAACAUAAUACUACAUUCAAAGUAUCACCUUGAACUACCUUCCUGAAAUGUUGAAACUGUCAAUGGUUCAAAAUUAUAUUGCCAAGCAACAUAACAUGCUCUACAACACAAUCACUGUGAAAAGCCAAUGUCAAGCAAAACAUCACAUCAUAUAUUCAGUUGAACAAAAGCUUUCACACGAAGUUCAAUGCACCACAUUUUUUGACACAAAUCUGGAAAUAAAUAAUCCAUUCGCUUUCAUCAAAUUGAAUACGCAGCAAUAACAAACUUCAAUUUUAAAAAGAGUCAUAAUAAUCUUAUUCACGAAAACCACAAAUAAAGAAAGGAACAUUAAAAUUCAAAUCCACCAUUAUAAAUCUACAUUCUUCAUUUAAAAAAAAAUUUAAACAUCAAUUUAUUAUAAACUAAACACUAAAUCAACGAAAAAGGGAAUAAACAGAAAAUAAUGAAAUCAAGAGCUGGUGAAUUUGGUAACAGCCUUAGUCCCUUCAGAAACAGCAUGUUUAGCCAAUUCUCCAGGAAGAACCAAUCUAACAGCAGUUUGAAUCUCCCUAGAAGUAAUCGUCGGCUUCUUGUUAUACCUAGCCAAACGAGACGAUUCCUGAGCGAGUUUCUCAAAGAUAUCGUUAAUGAAACUGUUCAUGAUUCCCAUAGCCUUGCUUGAAACACCGAUAUCAGGAUGAACCUGUUUCAGAACCUUGAAGAUGUAUAUCUUGUAGGUUUCAACGCUUUUCUUCGUUCUCUUCUUCUUCUUGUCGCUGCUUCCUUCCUUUGAGAUCUUCUUCUCCGCUUUUGGUUUCUUCUCGGCUGGAGCUUUCUCUGCGGGCUUCUUCUCCGCGGGUUUCUUCUCUGCCUUUGUUGGAGGCAUUGUUGAUUGGUUUGAAAGAUUGGGAAAGAGGUGAAUGAAGAUCAAGAGAUGAAAGGGAUGAAUGAAUGUGAGUGAAUUGGGGGAUUGAAGAGAGUGUAUUUAUAAGAUUGGGGGAUUGGUGCUGAUUGGAGGAAGUGGUGUCACGCGGAUCGAUGAGGUGGCGUGUUUGGAUGACGUUGAUUGAGAUUGGUUUGACUGACGGUGGAGAUUCCAGCUUGUUAUUUUUUGAAGAAUUUCGGACACGGAUCGAUGACGUGUAGUGUGCAUACUACUUAGCCUUGCUUAAGCCUUAUUUCGGUCCAUUAUUAUUAUUUGGAUAUGCUUAAAAGGGUUAAUUAUUAAUUUUUUUACAUUUAAACAUAAAAAAAUUUUGGAAGGAUUAAAACAAAAAAAUUUAUUACAAUCAAAUGUGUUUCAUCCAUCCUUAAUUAUAAGAUCAUUUUAAAAUAAAUUGUCACUAAAUAUAAGAUAAGAUAUCUACAAUUUUAUUACUAUCAAUGUCUGAAAUAUGUCCCUAAAUAUUUUAAAAAAAAUUGAGAGACGGUUCUUUAUUUUAGAGAGAAUAUUGUACUUCUUCCACUAACUCUCUCUUUCUCUUUCUUUCUACAUUUUAUGUUUAUCUCUCUCUAAAUUUUAGAGAGAAUAUCAAGAAGAGAUAGGAAAGAUAAGGAAAGAAAAUCUGUUUUCUCGCUUGGUUUGUUGGAUUGUGCUUGUGGUCGAGGGUUGGUUUUAGACCACUUUUGUUGUAGUUUGUUUUAGACACCCAGUCUUUUCUAACAUCUACGAAGUUGCAGAGGGCUCGCCAUUCCCCAAUCUUUUCUAACAUAUAAGGUGUUGCAGAGGGCUCACCAUCUACACCCCAUUUGUCUUUAAAAGAAAAACAAACAACCAAACCUCCACCAAAUGAUUAAGAGACAGGAGUAUAUACUACUCAAGUCAUAGUGUUGUAAAAUAGGUUACUUCUGCCUAGACCUGACAUGGUCUGGCUUAUAUAGAUUCUCAGGGUCCCAUGUGACCUAUUUCCACAUUAAUAAAGUGCAAGAGGAAAGUAACAAAUAGCUAAAUAUAAUCAGAAUAACAAUGGACCAGUAUAAAAAGGAUGUAUUAUUAAUUGGCCAAGCAAAGAUAAUGAGUUGAUAAAAAACCAUGUCUGGUUGUAUCCAAAAAUAAAAAACCAUGUCUCGCAUCCUUUACAAGUAUGAUUUUAAAGCUCGAGUACACAAACAGAUGCAAUCUUAAUUUUGAGAUUUGCACUGUGAAAAUGGGAAAAAUAAUCUUUGCUUCUCAAAGGGAAUGAAAAUGAUGGUUACGACCUCCGCUUGCAACCCAUCAAACUUGAAAUUUCAACGCCGGAAUUCUUAGAACCUGUGAAUUUCAGCAGAGAAGUUAAUGAUAGAACCCAAACAUCAAAACGUAAAAGAUUCAAUUCAGUGGUAAAGUUGCACUUAAUGCAAUAAAACAGGUGACAAAAAUGCUAAGUUACCUUCCCACCACAGGGAAAACAAAACAUUUGUAACAUAAUAAAUCAAAAUAUAGCACAACCUUUUUCACAUAAAUGCCAUUAGAUAAAAGCAUAAAAAGAGGCAUUCGUUCAAUUUUUAAGUAGUGAAUCAGAGAGAUGUAAAUGAUCUGUUAGCAGUGCCCGUGGAGCUGACUAAAGUAGAGCAAUAUCUUAAAUAGAGCUAGUUACCACAUUUCUUACAUGUCUAGCUCUGGAUAAACACAAUCCUUCAUCGCCUAUUUGAGCUUUAAUGAAACAAAAAGGCCAGAUUAACCAUAAUAACCAACAAAAGUACAUAAUUUCCGAUGAUGUAACAGGGUGUUGGUUUACCACGCAACACAUUAGGUCAAAAGUUUCCCUAGCUACAGACAAGCAUAUCACCCCCCACCCCCCACACACACACAAAUAAAAUAAGUUGCUAGAACCCAAAUUGAGGUUAUGGCCAAUCUCGGUAGCCAACUGGCUGAUGUUGAAGUCAAUUAGGAGAGUAUCCCUCUCAGCCAUGCAGUUCAUGCACAAAUUGUCUAUAGUCAAAAGAAUGACACAAUCAUUGCAAUUAGCAAAUCUGCAGACAUAAUGACUCACAUUGCAAUAUCAGCGACCAGAUCCAAAAUACAACCUUGAUAUGUGAGACGUAGGAUCUUUAUCCAACUGAAGUGACUGUGAUUGGUUUGUUUGCAACAAAUCCGAAUUCGUUAAAUUACCAAACUCCAUGGUUUCCGACAAGAAUCACAAUUUUAGAUUCUCUACCGUCACAAUUUCAGUAGCUGUGUUGUGGAUCUAGGUUAUUGGAUGAAAAUCGGACAACUCUUGUCCCAAUAGUAUUUUAAAAAAUAUUUGGGGAAGUUAAAUUACGAGUGAACUGAUCUUCAUCCAACGAAAUGGAUCCAUUGAACACAAUGACAACAUGGUUUGGCCAGCUACAGAUUUGCCAUUAUAAAAAUCAACCCAUCCACUACCAUCGGAUGGAGUUUGGAUCAAAUUGGAAUCACUGGAUGACGAUCGGAUCAAGAACUCUGAAUCCAAUCUUCAUCAAAUAGCUCCCAUUUAAUAACUGGAGUGACUGUGUUAUUUGUUAUCUAUAACAUCAAAUGAGGUUCCCCGAGAUCACAGCCUGAUUUGAGCUUUCGGGAAUCCCAUGUGUGUCUAUCAUCUUAGCAUCCUAAACACAUGAUCCAACUUCCUAACAGCCAAAUUCAUCCACAGCCAAAGAAAGUUGCUAGAACCAAAUUUUGAGGUCAUGGCCAAUCCCGGUAGCCAACCUGGCUCACGUGGAAGUGACUAUGAUCAACUUUGUCUACAACAUAUCCAAAUUCAUUAAAUUACCAAAACCCAUGGUUUCCGACAAGAAUCACGGCUAUAGAUUCUAUACAGUCACAACUUAAGUAGUUGCGGAUCUAAGGUUGUUGAAUGAAGAUCGGAUGACUCAUGUCCCAAAUUGUAUUUUAAACCAUAAACUAUAUUUGGAGACGUUAAAACUUAAAAUAUGAGCGAGAACUGAUCUUCAUCCAGCAGCAUGGAUCCAUUGAACACAACAACAACAAUGACAACAACAAGGUUUGGCAACUGCAGAUUCUAUACAAUAAAAAAUCAAUUUAUUUACUACCAUUCCAUGAAGUCUCUAUCAAAUUGGAACCAUUGGAUGAAGACCGGAUCAAUAAUUUUAAAUCCAAUCUUCAUCUAAUAGCUCAAAUUUGCUAAAUCGAGCGACCGCGUCAUUUAUUAUCUACAUCAAAUGAGGUUCCCCAGGAUCACAACCAGGGUGUUCCGAAACCCUAUUUGUGCCUACCAUCUAAACAUCUUAAACCCUAAACAGAAGAUCCAACUUCCUAACAGCUAAAUUCAUCAGCAACAAAAGCACAACUCAUAUGAAUAUACAAAAUAAAAUAAAAAACUCAAUAAACUAAUGGAACACUAAUAAACAUUAACCCACCAAACAAUCCAACAAAAUUCACAACGUAUUAACAAGAAAAAAUCAAACCAAGGGAAUAAAAUUAACAAAAAAACAAAAUUGUUGACCUUGGAGGAGCAGAACCAGCAUUGAGACUGCGAUGAAGAAUCCUAGCAGGAGCAGCAUCAUCAGCAUCAGUGUCAACAUCAGCAAUCAAAUCUUUCAAACCCAUACUGACAACAUCAGCUUCAUCAUCAACUUCAUCUUCAUCUCCAACUGGUGAUGAAUAAGGACGCACCAAAGGUUUUGGCGCAGUCCUCUGAAAAUAAUUCCCAUAAAUAUACUCAGGCGAAAACCCAUGAUCAUCACUAUACCCCAUAAUAUGCCCAUGCCAUUCCCACACAACAUACUCCCCUUCCUCAUCAUCAUGACACCCAACACAAAUACUACUCUCCCGAAUCGUAACCGCUUCACCGGAAUUUGCCUUCAGCUUAUCCCCUUCUCCACUGACAAUCAGCUUGAUAAUCUCCCCUUCGACUCUCGACUCUUCGCGUUGAAUUGCUUUCUGCCCGGCCUCCUGGUAAGUACAGGGAGCGUCGUCUUCGUCAUCGUCAGAGCCAAAAAGGAAAUCCUCGAAGGAUUUUCGGGAAGGGCUGUUGUCGUCAUUGACGUUGUCUGGAUCGUGAAGUUGAAUUUUUUUCAUCAGGGUUUCGAGUAAGAGAUUCUCGAGGUGGGUGAUGGUGGAGGAUGAAUCGUCGUUGUUGAUGCUUGGGAGGGAUGUCAUGGUGUUCGAUGAAAGUUCUCAGCGAAAUGGAUAUGCAGGGUUUUGUAAAUUGCGAAAUGGAAAUGGGUCUUAUUUAUAGCCUUAUAGGGGUUUAAGAAAUAUACACAACGCGUGGAUAUUUCUGCAACUCUUAAUCUUUUUCUAAUGGUCAAAUUAAAUUAACAUUUUAGGUGGUUUUACCAUUUCAUUGAAAAAACAACAUUGUUGAGUUUAUUCAACUCUACUAGUUUUAUUACUGUUUUAAUUAUGUGAUGGAUAUUUUUUUCUAUUCGAUUUGAAUUCUUUGGAUGCAAGUGAGAGAGACAUCAUGAUUAACUUUUCUUACUUUUAAAUUAUGAACACCGUAAAAUAUAUUUUUAAAUCAGUUAAAUGUAAUUAAAGCAUUAUAUAAUUAUUUAUCAUAUUAUUUUUUGAAUUUUAAAAAAAUAUAAAACAUAUUUAAAAUAUAAAUUUAGGCUUCGAAAGUUCUCUAUUCAAAACUCCUUCAAAAUAGACUCUUAAUUAUAUACUCUUGCAUGAAAUUGCUUCCAGACUCAUGUAGGAUGUUAUUUUAAAUGUAUUUUAUUCUACCAUUAGAUAAAUAUUUUAUUCAAUUUUUAUUCGAGUAUUUUUAGUGUCAAUAAGUUUGAUGUAAUAUUGUAGUUGUGUGAUGAAGAAUUUUUUCUUUACAAUUCGGCUUGAAUUCUUUGAAUCUAAUUGAAAUAUGCAAUUGCAUUUAGUUGUGUACCAUGCAUCAAAUAUGAUUGAUUCUACAAAGAGAUGGUAUAUCAAAUAAUAUCGUCUCUUAUUUCAUUUUCAAAAGAGUCAACUUUCUUUAAAAAAAAAAAAAUCAACUUUGUCUUUUAAAAAAUAAUAUUUUUAUCUUUUUUUUUUUGUCGGAGUUCGAACCCCAAACCUUACAUAUAUUAUAUUUUGUGCAUGAAUACAAAUUCUAAGGUAAAUUCUAGAAGAAAAUGGUGUGUUAAAUACGGUUGAUUCUAGAAGAAUAUGAUGGAUAAUGCUAAUUUUAAUAGAAAAUGACACAUCGAAUAAGAUUGCUUCCAAAAGAUGUUAUAAGUUGGUUUAAAAAAAUGGUAAUUUACCUUUGCGUUGGAAAGUAAUAUUUUGACUGGUGCUAGUCACACCAAAAAAAAAAACAAGUUACACUCCAGAAUAACUAAUAUACCCUUUAACUAAAAUAAAAAUUUCAAAUCAACUAAAUUUACAUUAACGUAAAUUGAACAUAAGUAAACUUAAUUUACAUUAACCUAAAUUGAACAUAAGUAAAUUUAAUUUACAUUAACCUAGAUUGAACGUAAGUAAAUUGAAUUUACAAACUUAAUUUACAUUAACCUAGAUUGAACGUAAGUAAACUGAAUUUACAUUAACCUAGAUUGAACAUAAGUAAACUUAAUUUACAUUAACCUAAAUUGAACGUAAGUAAACUUAAUUUAUAUUAACCUAGAUUGAACGUAAGUAAACUUAAUUUACACUAACCUCUUAUAUACAUACGUAAACUAAAUUUACAUUAACCUAAAUUGAACAUAAGUAAACUUAAUUUACAUUAACCUAGAUUGAACGUAAGUAAACUGAAUUUACACUAACCUAAAUUGAACAUACGUAAACUUGAAUUUACAUUAAUCUACAUACGUAAACUACACUAACCCCUUUUAUAUACAUACACGUAAACUUAAUUUACACUAACCUCUCACUUAAAAUCAAAUUGACAGACAUAUCUCAUACCAAAACAAACAAUAAACAAAUAGAAACUCAUCGAAAAUGAAAUUCAUAAAAUUCACUAACCUUUAUGAAUAUAGUACAGAUCAAUAACAAAAAUGUUGAUUCAGAUGUUGGUUGCACAUCUAUGGUGAUUUGUGGAUGAAAGGGGGUAAGAGUUCAGAAUGAUCAUAAAAGAUGAGUUUUUAAAAAUUUACAUGAAGAGGGCACUUUUGGUAUUAUUAUAAAAUUUUAAAUAAAUUUGGAUGUAACUUGUUUUUUUUGGGAUGUGACUAGCACCAGUCUAAUAUUUUUUACAAAAUUUGAUCAAAUCUAAUUGUUUGUAUGGAAAGAUGCAUUUUUUAAAAAAUAUCAUUAAAUUAUAAAAAAUAAAAAAAAAAUGUCAAAAGGAAAAAAGGUAAUUGUAACGAAAACUUAAUAAAGUGAAUAUAAACUAACGAAAACAAAUUUAAAUGUAAGGUUGAUGCGUUCUUUUCUCAAGCUCGGGACCGGGUUGGCAUUGGUGUGUGCAUUUGAGAUGAUGAAGGUCGUUAUGUUUUGGCCAAGACUAAAUGGAUGUCUCCGCUCCUUGAUGUGAAUUUGGGUGAGGCUUUAGGCUUAUUAUCAGCCAUUUAAUGGGUUCGCGAUCUGCAGCUAGGUAGUGUGGACUUUGAGCUUGAUUCCAAAAUUGUGGUAGAUAGUCUUUAUGGCAAUAAAAGUGGCGUCUCUAAUUUUAGCGCAGUAAUCAAUGACUGUAGACGCUUGUUAACUUCUGAUUUAGUAACCUUUGAUGUUAGGUUUAUUUGGAGACAAGCCAACGAAAACACUCAUAGUUUUUGUUAGAGUGGUUUUGCGUCUUGCUAGUUUUCAUAUUCAUAUUAGGAUUCCAUCUUGUAUCUCUACUAUUAUUAUGAAUGAAAUGCAAUAAGUUUCUUCUUGUAAAAAAAAAAAGUAAAUAUAAAAAAUGUAUUUAUAAUUUAUUAAUUUAAAAAAAAAAAUUGUCAUUUUUAAACCUUAUUUUAAAUAUGUGUUACAUCAAACAUGAUGGUAGUUUCUUUUUUUGGUGGUGUUCGGGGUUUGAACCGCAGACCUUACAUAUAUUAUGCAUUGUCCCUACCAACUGAGUUAAGCUCAUGAGGACCAUGAUGGUAGUUUCUAGAAGGAUAUUAUAUUUUAUUUAAAAUAAAAAUAAUAAUGUUCGGUUAUAUAAAUGUGAUGGGAAGAAAAUUCAUUUUGUACAAAACAUGAUUGAAUCUUACCUAAAAAAAUGAAUUUUUUUUUAAUGGCAAAUAUAUAUAUAUAUAUAUAAAGAUAAACUGUACAAAAUACACUAAAGGAGCCGCCAAUAGACGCUCACAAAGACCCCCAUAGAGCGACCCCAUGCCCAACAAGCUAGGUGGGAAGAAGCCUGAGGGAGGUCCAAGAAACACCAAAAAGAAAUGACACCAAAAGAAAAGCCAAGAAACAACACAAACCACCAACCAAAAAACACUUGUUGAAACAGAGAAGGAGAGAGAAGGUAUAACCAGGAGGUCGGCCGAAGGAGAGAAGGCAGAGAAACCUCACCAAUCCCCCACACGUACCCAAUCACCCCCUCAAAACACCCUACCGCUGCCAACACAAGACGAGCUGCACCUCCUACUCAUGAUAAGUGCAAGAACUAGCAGGGCACUUAGGCAAGAACCACUUCCAAGCUAUGAGUUUUGCUUUAUCCACCACAGGUUCAUCGCAGAGUACACCAUCCGAAAAAAUAAGGUUGUUCCGAGAUGUCCAGAUGGUCCAAACAACACCAUGUCAAACAAGAAGCAAUCCUAACCUAACUCUCUUCCCCCUCCUAACCCCGUGAAAACCUGGAACUGCUGGGCCAGGCCAGGCCAAGGGGAAUGACAAACUCCCAACCCAACUACCUAGACACCUGAUACCACACCGGAAAGACAGGAGAACAAAGGAGAAAGAGGUGCACCGAGGAUUCAGACAACGCAAUACAUAAAACACACCCCCAAGGCCACGUCAGGAAGAAGGGCACCACGCACAAGGGAUUACGCAUGGUGGGAAUCCUAUCAAGAAUAAGCUGCCACGAAAAAGCUAUGAUCUUAGGCAGAGCCCACGACUUCCACACUCUGGCAACAACGUGCAAAGCAGGACCAUCUGGUGCACCCGAAGUCGGCAGAGCUUGAGCCAAAAAAGAAUAAGCCGACUUAACCGAGUAGCGACCAUCAGAGUUAUGAGUCCAAGACCGCAUAUAUUCCUUCUUCGAUCGAGAGUGUCUAGGAGCAACCAAAAACAACUCAUCGAGUAGGUCCGACUCCCAAACAAACAAAGGUCUCCUCCACAUAAGGUUCCAAAUCCGGACACUCCCCACCCACAUACCUAACUCCCACACACACCCUCCAGCCUGGGUAAAGAGUUGGAAAAGCCGACUAAAUCUAACCCUAAGAAUGUCAUUCAAGCUUCUCUUAGGGGUGGAGAGUGAAAUGUUUUCUAAUAUGUUUUGAAUAAGAGAGGGAAAUAUAUAUUUUAACAUAAGAGGAGAGAAGACUGUAAUUCAAGCAUCUUUGAAGGGAUGAGAGUGUAAUUUACUCUAUUUUUAUUUCCAAUUAUCUAGCAAAAUAAUUAUAAUCGAACACACUUUGAGAAAAAUAGUAUUGCGGGUCUAUUUUAGUAUAAUUAAAAUUUGAAUACAUAGUUUUUGCUACUUUUUAUUCACAAUUUUAUUAACAAAUAGUUUUAAACCCUAUUAUAAAGUAUGAAACAACCGAAAAUAAGAUUAAAACAUGUGAAAAAUUACUAAAGACAAUAAAGUAUGGUUUCUUAAAAGUUAAUUUUAUACUCUAAAUUAUACAAUUAACAACAUAAUAUUUAAAUUUAAUUAUUAUUGUCAUUUAAAUUAUAAAUAAAUUAAUUUAUUUUACUUAAAUGAUGGUUCAAAGCUAGUAUAUAUUAUAAAAAUAUUUAUUUAUCUUAAAAUAAAUUAAAGUGUAGUAUAUAUUUAAUUAUUAAGGGGUGGGAGUUGUAAUUCAAGCAUUUUAUAUGAGAGGGGAGUAUAAAUUUUAUUUUUCAAGGGAGGAGAAUGUACAUUAAAUAAAGAGUGUAAUUCAAGCUUCUCUUAAAGGAGGGGAGUGUAAUUUACUCAAAAGUUAAAUUAUACAACAAAAAAAAAAAACUUACCUUAAAACAACAAUAUAAAAAAACUUUAUAAUGUAAAUGUAAUAAGUCAUUUUUCUUUUGUAGAAAUAAUGAAGUGAAUUUAAAAACUUUAUAAAAUUAGAAAAAAAUAAUUAAUUCAAUUAAAAUAUAUUGAUGUAUUUAGGGAAGAGUUAAAUUAUUCAACAACAAAAAAAACUUACCUUAAAAAAGAGUAAAAGACAAUUUAAAAAACUUUAAAAAGUGAAAGGUACAUUAAAUAAAAUCUUAAACAUGAUUAAAAUCAAAAUAUAUUGGUGUGUUUUAGGGAAAAGUUAAAUUAUACAAUAAAAAAAACUUACCUUAAAAAACUAUACAAAGAAACUUUUUUUUGUAGGAAAUAUAAAGAAACUUUAUAAUGUGAAUGUAACAACAAAGAUGGGUUUUUAGAAAUUUAUAUGAAGAGGGCAAUUUUGAUAUUAUUGUAAAUUUUAAAUAAAUUUAAAUGUAAUUUGUUUUUUUGAGGUGUGACUCGGUCAUGUAAUAAAGUCAUUUUUCUUUUGUAGAAAUAAUAAAGUGAUUUAAAAACUUUAUAAAGUUAGAAAAAAAAAAUGAUUAAUUCAAUUAAAAUAUAUUGAUGUGCCGCUGCAACAUCAUUCUCUUCGGCGAGUUCUCCUUCUUUUUUUCCGAAUCUCGAUUCUUUCAGCGUUCAAUUCAACCCAAUCUUCUUGCACAAUUUCUGCGGUUAGUGAGUUAUUAUCUCUCAAAAUUCUCUUGUUUCUAUUUUCUUAUUAUUAUUAUAGCAGUGGAAUCAUGCAUGAUCUAUUGAUUGGUGAGGGUUUCACAUAAUUUUACUUUGAUUAUUAAAUCUUACUUAGUCUGUACUGUUAGUUUUGAUUCAAUAUAUAAUAUGAUUUGUUGAAUCGAAUCGAAUCGAUUUCCAGAAAACCAGUCUCCAACACCAAAUUUUAGUCUGUUGAUUCAUAAUUCAUAAUAGAUACGCAAGUUAUAUAGUUUUAGUCUAGACUAGGUACCAACAUUUAUACCCUAUGACUGAGCUGAUUGUUGUUUAUGGCUCGAUCCACUAAAAUCUUUUACCGGUUCGACCACAUUAGGACUUUCGUCAAUGCGGAGGUUAAAUGCUUCCAAGACAACUAUCUUGAUACUGCACUUGAAAACACGAUUUCACUUCUCAUCCUCCUCCGUUGUGUGUAGCAGAAAGAAAGAUAAAGAUAAAGAGAAAGAGGAAUAAAAAUGGGGAUCCGAUUCGUUUUAAUGGUGAACAAACAAGGUCAGACACGUCUUGCUCAGUAUUACGAAUACCUCACCGUUGAAGAACGAAGAACCCUUGAAGGCGAAAUCGUUCGUAAAUGCCUCGCCCGUAAUGAAAACCAGGUAUGCGUCCACUCUUUUCUUUUAUUUUCAUCAGAUCUCCAUACCUUACCUUCAAUUUUAGCUAAUUGACCCUGUCGUUGUUUAUUAUUUAUUCAACCCUAGUUUUAGGGUAUGCUUGGAUCAUUGAAGGUAGCAAUUAGAUUGAGAGCUUAAUUCAAAAUUGAACAAAAACUAGGUUUACAAUUUGACUCAACUGAAUAUCAAACAUAAACACUUGUGAGAAUAUGGAAACAGCUUAUAACAUGUUCAUAAGUUGCUUCAAGAUUAUUUCCAUAAGUUCUCCAUGAUAGAUUAUGAAAUCAGCUAAUAGUUAUAGCUUAUUCGAAAACAGAGUUAUUUUAUUUUAUCUUUUGUUUUAGAAAUAGCUUAAGCAUUAGUACUCAUAUGAUAAAUUUUUGUUGUAAGCACUUAAUUAACUUGUUUAUCUAAAUAAGAUAUAGAUGUCUUGGAAGGUUAUUAUUUGAAAUUUUUAUCAUAGACGGGAGAAAAUAGUUGGUUUCCUUUCACACCCCGCCAAAUUGGGGAAAAGAAAGUAGUUAGUGAAGUAAAUAAAAUAUUGUCAACUAAAUAAAAUAAAAAACUUAGGGUCAUUCCACUUUCUUUCGUUCCUGUAUGUCAAUACAACAUGGCCUAAGGUAUUCGGUCAAUGAUUAAUAUGUGGCUGAUACAUUUUUGUCAUGGACAGUGUUCAUUUGUUGAGCAUCGCAACUACAAAAUUGUAUACAGGCGCUAUGCAUCUUUGUUUUUUCUGGUUGGAGUUGAUGACGGCGAGGUAAUUCAUUGUUUCUAUAUUUCUCAUUCUAGUUGAUUUAUACAAAGGUGGUGAAUAUUUUGAAAUAAGCAGAUUGUGUUAAAUAGUCUAGUUUUGAUGUAACUGACCAGUGGUCAUGGCUUCAAAUGUGAUCGGCCUAGCCUUGCUUGUCUAAAGAAACUGAAUGAAUUUUCUGUUGUAAACUGAGAAACCUGAAGUUAUUAGUCUUGUUCCACAUUUCAGCUUCAGCAAAAUUUCCCAUGUAUCACUUCCAUUGUAAAUAAAUAUGAUAUCGCUUCAAAUCCGGCUUCAACUUUAUUGUUCAUUCUACCUUCUGUGGAUAAUUUUGCAGAAUGAGCUUGCUAUUUUGGAAUUCAUCCAUCUCUUGGUCGAAACCAUGGAUCGACAUUUUGGCAACGUGGUAAGUACUGUUGUGACUAAGAGUCUCUGGAGUUUUGUGUUUGUUGAAAUUGAAAGUAAUGUGUCUCCUCACAUUACUUCCAUAAUGUCUAUUGUUUUCUUCCUUCCAUAUUCUGAACUUGGCUUUAGCCAAACACUGAUUUUUUGUUUCUCAAAUUUGCAGUGCGAGCUAGAUAUCAUGUUUCAUUUAGAAAAGGUACAUUUUAUGUUGGAAGAAAUGGUCAUGAAUGGUUGUAUUGUGGAGACGAGCAAAUCAAAUAUUCUGACUCCUAUUCAGCUUAUGGAUAAAACAUCGUAAGAGAUACAACGGAAACAAAAGAAGAAUUCAUGUAUCUAUGUUACAAUUACCUGUCACUGCUGCUUUAUUAUGUGUGAAUACAAACUGCAUCAGUUUAUCGUCAAUUUUCUUUUUCUUCAUGAAUAAAACAAAAGUUGCGUAUUUCAUUUUUAUAAUUUCCUACCUGCUUGAUUGUAUUGACUAUGACUACUGAUUAUUUGCUUUAAUUUCUUUUUUUCAUUUUUGGUGGCCACAAAUACAACAUUAUAUGCUUUUAUAUAAAAAAAAUAAUGUAUACAUGAUACAUACGAGCAUUAUGAUAUAUACAAUCUUUCUUUUUUCUUUUUCCACCGACAGAAAGUGUAUAAUUGGAUGGGUAUUCAUGAAAUAUAAUUUUGAUUGGAGAUAAUUACAUUUAUCUCCCUGAGAUUUCAGUAAAAGACGCUCACACUCCCUUUAAUUCGUAAUUUUUUUUUACCUCCCUUUGGUUUAACACCGUUAGCCAUAGUUAAACAAUUUGGAAUACCAAAAAAAAUAAAGAUGGAAACCCAUAUUUUGUUUUUAAAACCGUUAUUCAUUGCAUUCUUGAAUUCUCUCACAAAACAAUGAAAAGUCAUCCCUUCGUAUCUUAAUCGAUGAACCUUACGGACAUUCUCAUUUGAUCAAGUCUUCUCUACUUGUAACUUCUUUAUUUUCUUCUCGACAAAACAGAAAACAAUCAAAAUACGCAUUACUGUCCUUGUUAGCCUUUAUUAUUUAGUGUAAAUAAGCUAACUGCUUGUUGUCUUUGUCAUUUAGCAUUCUUUAUUAUUAUUUUGCAGCAUGCCAGUGUCAACUUAUGCUCAAUUAUAUUACUUGAUGAUACUCAGUAGAAAAAAAAGAGAUCAACAGCCACCUUAUGCUCCAAUUAAUAAUGCAUCAUCUCAAAAUGCAUAAAAUGUCAAUCAUUUUGAACAAACAAGAUGUAGAAGAUACAAAUGUAAAAGAAGAUUAUCCUGGAACAAAUGCAAAUAAGAUAAAAAUAGGUGAGAUGUGGAGUUCUAAAACGAAAAAAACAACUUCACAGCAAAUAAAGAUUUAGGAUACAUGAGUUAGGAAACUGUCCUUGAUGAAAUGGAAGAGAAAAGAUACAAAAGUGGUUGUCUGACGUAACUGUUGUGCAAAAAGGCCCUGAGAUUGCAAAGAAGAAGAAGAGUAUACAUCAUCCUUUAUAAUAGAGACUUUCUUUUGUCUUGAAAAGGAUUAUUUUUAAAAUAAAAAUAAGAUUAAAUAGGAUAAAAAUUUGUAUUUUUCGCUUACAUUUUAGACAAAGAAAGUGAAGAAAAAAAAUUGGCUUAAAUAUGAUAAUCGUCGCUGUAAUUUGGGUCAAUUUUGAUUUUCGUUCCUGUAAAAAAAAACUUUGAAAUACAUUCCUGUAAAAAAAAAUUUGUUUGAAAAAGGUCCUGACCUCACUAUUCAGCUGAUUUGACAUGGUUUUGGCCACAUGGCAGUUGCUACGUGGCGUGGCCCAUAAUAUUAGUUUUUUUUUUUAAAAUUAAAAUUCUGAAAAUUGUUUUUAAAAUAAAAAAAUCAGAAAAUAAAUUUUAAAAUAUUUUUCUGUUUUUUUUUUUUAUAAUUUUCAAAAUAAAAUUAAUUUUUUUAAUAAAAUAUAUUCUGAAAUUUCUGAAUUUUUUUUUUAAAUUAAAAAUUUCGUAAAAGAACAAGAAAUUAGAUUAUUUUUUUAAAUUAUAAUUUAUUUUUGAAAAUUUUUAAUUUAUAACUUUUGAAACUAUAAUUGUCAUUAUUUUCGAAAAAAAUUUAAUAUAUAAUUUUCAAAAUAAAAAAAAUCUAUUUUUUCGAAAAUUUAAUUUUCACAUUUUUUUUUCAAAAUUUAUAAUUUUAACAGUUUUUAUGUCAAAAAAUUAAGUUUUUGAAAAUUUUAAAUUUCAAAGUUUUUUUGGAAAUAUUUUAUGAUUUUUAAAAAAAUAAUUUUCAGAUUUUUUUUUAAUUACGUGAUAGUCAGCGCCACAUGACAAAAGUUGCACAGUCAACAACUGACACGUGGCGAAUAACAUGCCAAGUCAGCCAUGUAGUGGGGCCAGAGACCUUUUUCAAACAAUUUUUUUUUAGAGAGAUGUAUUUCAAUUUUUUUUUUACAGGGACGAAAAUCAAUACUAGCCAUUAUUACAGGAAUGAUUAACAUAUUUAUUGAAGGGAUACAUUAGAAGAGAGAAAACAAAUUAUAAAUUUAAGAGACCACAAAUUAUAAAAACUUAAAGGAUCUUGCUAACCAUUGCCCUUAAAAAAGUUAAAAGUAGCAUGUUUGCAUUGGUUUCAACAACAUUUUGACUUUUAAAAAAUUAAAUUUAUCACUUUUCAUCAAUUUAUAAUACUAUAUUUAUAUUUUUAUCCCUUGUCUAAUGCCCAAGAAUGGUUAGCCUUCUUCAAACUUAAAAAGUGAAUCUUAUGAUUAAAAGAAGAAGUGAGCAUAACCAUGUGGUUUGCAUAGCAUAGUUACGAUGGUGAUGCGGGUAAUGGAUAGCAAUAAUGAGAAUGAAAAGAAGAUCAAAGGGCUAUUAAUUGAGUGACAAUAAGAGCGCGAGUGUAUGUGUUGUUUUGAUUUCCCCAAUUCAACGCCCAACUUAGUGAUGAGUGUCGACGUUACACGUUUUCCCUCUUUUCUUUUCAUUCUCUCUCUUUCUCGUUUUCCUGUUUAGAUCUUAACUUUCCUCUUCCUCAUCUUCACAGGUAUUUCCACUUUUCUCUUCAUUUAUUCAUUCAUCACUACUUCACCAAUUAUUAUUAUUAGAUGUUUUUCAUUUUUCAUAAAUUAUUUCAUUGUUGUGAUUGUAAUUAAUUAAUGAUCGACACUCGCAGAGGAAUAGGUUUUGGUUGUUUCGAUGGCUGCUCCACCUGCCAGAGCUCGUGCUGAUUACGAUUAUCUCAUUAAACUUCUCCUAAUCGGUGAUAGCGGUACCAUUUUUGUUUGGAUAAAUUCUUCUGAUCUUGUAUUUGGCAUUGAAAAUUCGAAUUUAUUGUUAUUUGUUUACUAAAUUGAAAGCUAUGUUUGGCAUCACUCUGAAUUUUCAAAAUCCAUACUCCGUAACUUUCACGAAAUCAAGAUGUGAUUAUGGCAAACUCACCCUGAUACCAAACAAGUACUUAGUAUUUUGUAUCUGAUUAUGCUAUUGUUCAUAUUGGUAGGUGUUGGUAAAAGUUGUCUUUUAUUGCGUUUCUCUGAUGGGUCUUUUACAACUAGUUUUAUCACAACCAUUGGGUAGGUUUCUUUUGUGCAAUCAUGUAAUAUUUGGUUCCGUUUUAUUCUUUUGUCUCUAUCUGUUGUGGUGGUGAGAUGGCUCUGAUGUCACUGGAUUAUUUUAUUUUUAUUCUUCAGCAUUGACUUCAAAAUAAGGACAAUUGAGCUUGAUGGAAAGCGAAUCAAAUUGCAAAUAUGGGACACAGCCGGUCAAGAGCGGUUUCGAACUAUCACAACUGGUUAGUGUGUAAUUGAAAUUUCAUAAAUAUAGACACAGCUAGAAGCCUAUAAUGUUUUACACUAUGUUUGGAACUGCGUUGGUCUACCAUUUCUCACGUCCUAAUGUCCUCUGGCCAUGAUUUUUGUGAAGCUAGAAGUUGGAGCUUCAGACUUAACACAAUUCGUCCUUUUUCCACCGCCAAUACAAACAACUAUUUAAUGCAAGCUCCAUUGUGAUUUUUCAUGUACGGAAUUUUUAUGGGCUUGUUUGGAUAAACAACUUAUUUGUAGUUUACAGCACAUGCGCUUAUCAUGAUAAGCGCUUAUAUAAGCUUGCAUAAUGUAUUUUUUAGCAAAAGAUAAUACAAUAUAUAAGUUGUUUUACAUGAAUCACUAAUUGCACUCUACGUGUAUUCAUAUUUUGAAAGUUCUGUAAGAUUUUUUCAUUUUCAACACUAAAAAAUACCACUUUAAGCAUGUGACUCGAUAAUCAUUCAAAAACUCAUCUCUCAAUUGAUUACAUAUUUAAUUCUUCACAAAAUUAAUAUUAGGGUGUGUUUGGAUGGAGGGUUUGGGAGGGGAAGGGAGAGGAGGGUUUACUUUUCAUUUUUGAAUUACGGACACUAUAAAAUGUUUUAUAAAAAGUUAACAUAUCAACCUGAUAAACAAUCAUAUAAUACUUCAAUCACACUUAAUUUAUUUUAGAAAAACAUGUUAUAUAUUCCGUAAUUUAAAAACAAAAAGUAAACCUCCCCUCCCAAACCCUCAAUCCAAAUACACCCUUAGAGAACUUCUUUCAUGGUUUGAGUUUCCAUUUAGCGGGGGCAAGACAUUGUUUGUUUGAUAUAUGUAACUGAUUCCACCUAAUGGAAAAGGCCUUUGUUGUUGUUGUAAUAUUAUGUUGUAUAAUGUUUCUUAGUCUUUCAAAUUUAAAUAUCAAUUAGCUUCUGCUAUGAUUUCGUAUAUGUAAAUUGUUGAGCUCUGUCACAAGUAUUAUUCCUUCCUUUGCAGCUUACUACCGUGGAGCCAUGGGUAUUUUGCUUGUAUAUGACGUUACUGACGAGUCUUCUUUUAACAGUAAUAUUUUCUUCCCCCUUCUCUCUUACAUUAAACACCAUUCCUCUUUUAAUAUCCUUAAAUUCGUGUUUCCUUAAAUCGUAACAUCUUGUAGAACAUCCAUUAUAUUCAGUGAACACAAUUAUUUAACAGUUCCACCCGCGUCAAUUGGCUUUCAAUGCUUGCAAUGAGUUUUAAGCGCUAUUACAUGACAAUAGGACUUAUUUCAUCUCAUGUCCAGAUAUCAGGAAUUGGAUUCGUAACAUUGAGCAGCAUGCUUCUGACAAUGUUAACAAGAUAUUGGUGGGCAACAAAGCUGACAUGGAUGAAAGCAAACGGGUAUGUCCUCUCUCAUUCUCAUUUCUACUUAUUGGAUUAUUUUAUGUACUUAUAUGCAUUGGGCACAUAUUUUUAUGCAUGAUGAUAUCUAUCAAUGUUCUCCUUAGGCUGUGCCAACUUCUAAGGGCCAAGCGCUUGCAGAUGAAUAUGGUAUCAAGUUUUUUGAGACUGUAAGUAGCUCUCACGUCUCAAUGCACAUUGUAAUUGCACGCAUAAAUCACUAAUCUAUUGGUAUUGAUUAUGCUCUUGCCUGUACAGAGUGCUAAAACAAAUUUGAAUGUGGAGGAGGUUUUCUUUUCAAUAGCCCGGGACAUCAAACAAAGACUUGCAGAUACUGACUCAAAAUCUGAGGUUUUAUUUUGGACCUUUUACUAGUUAUCAUUGAUUGUCUCCCGGUUUUUUUUUUUGAACCCUUUUAUAAUUGCAUUAUAUCAUAUGUGAUUAAAUGCAAGAUUUCAUGGAUGUAUUUAGUUUCAUGUUUACAUCAUUGUUGCCUUGCAUCCUAAGUUUAACAAAAAUCACUCUCCGGGUUGAAUUCUCUCAUCAGUUCCCUUCUAAGUUUUCCAUUUUGUUCUUUGCAGCCCCAGACAAUCAAGAUUAACCAACCAGACCAGGGAGCAGGGGCUGCCCAAGCCGCCCAAAAAUCUGCAUGUUGUGGUUCUUAAUGGGAAGCUUGAGGGCGUACAUUUGACUUAGAAAUUUAAUUUUGUCAACGACUCUGUCAUUAAUGCAUGUAUGAUUCAUGUUAUUUUACAGUUGCUACUCAUUGGGUGUGAAUGGUAGAUUUUUUGUAUGUCGGGAAAUUAAUCACGUCAAUUUGUUGUUUGCUUAAACCCACUCUUUUUCAGGAGCUUGGUCAUGCACAUCGUGCCUUUCUUGAAGCCAAUAAGGCUCAAAGCAGGAACCACACCAUAUUUGGCUUAUGGUCACAGUGUAGUUAACAUUUAUGGUACUCCCAAAUAACUGAAUCUGAGUGACUACGAAUCAAAUCCACAUUGAUGCUAGGCAUCACACAUUCAUUCUUCAGUUUGGAGUUUCCAGAAAAAAGCUGAAUACCCAUUGAUUUCAAAGACGUGGAUAACAUGCCAAAAUGACAAAAUUAAGAGUUUAAGCCUAUGUUUAUUUCUGCUGUGUUAGCUUGCAAAUGCGCAAACUGAGAAAUAACUUUUGUGGUCAAGGAACUUAUGAUAUGGUUUUACCUAAACAUACAGAAAAUGUUCCAUUUUACUCCCUCCGGUCCUUAUUAUAAGAAAAAGUUGACUUUUUAGGUUCAUAGAAUAAUUAAUGCAUCUUGUUGUAAAUAUAGACUAAAUACAUCGCUUACAUAAUAAACUAAAAAAGUCAUUUGUUUCUUAUAAUUAGGACCGAAAGGAGUAAUUAAUUUGUGGGUGACAUUGCUUUCAAGCUGACAUUGCUUUCAAGUUGCACCUGACGUGCUAACAAUCUUUUUAGAAGUCUAAAGAAGAAACUUUUUUUUGAAAAUUGUGUAUUCAACACGUUGAAACUUUAAAAAGUAACAUUUUUUACAUAAGAUUUACAAAUAAUUUUCUCUUGAAAAAUGUUAACAAGUGUUCUAAGGGCAUUGUUUAAGCAUCUAAAAGUAGCAAUUUUUUGCAUUGGGAAUUGUAUGGUUAUAACUCUAACAAGUGUCUAACUUAUAUUUUCAAGGCAUAAUUUCUUUUUAUGGAUUCUUUAAACAACGUCCUUAGAGCAUUUGUUAACAAGACCAUUUUCUCUUUUGAAUCCUUAACAAGUGCUCUCUCACCGGUGGUUUUAAAAAACCUCGCGAACUGACUUGGGUUACAGGUGUAGUUUUGGGUGUAUUGACUGCAUCCUUUGGUGUAACCGGUUGUUCCUUACCUUGGGACCAAAUUGGUUAUUGGGCAGCAAAAAUUGUAACAGGUAUACCCAACGCUAUUCCUGUAAUAGGAUCGUUGGUGGUAGAGUUAUUGCGCGGAAGCGCUAGUGUGGGACAAUCUACCUUGACUCAUUUUUAUAGUUUGCAUACUUUUGUAUUACCUCUUCUUACUCCCGUAUUCAUGUUAAUGCACUUUCCAAUGAUACGUAAGCAAGGCAUUUCCGGUCCUUUAUUGAAUAAAAAAACGAAAAAACAUAAAUCAAUCAUAGAUAUUUGUAAUUAAUCAUUUUGGGGAGGAGAAUAGUAUUUCAUUGCUACAAAUAUGCAUUAUUAAAAAAUAUAUAUAAUAAGACAUGUAUUUGGAUAUUUCCAUUCAACUUAACAAAAUAAAUUGCAUUCUUUAUUUGAUAUACACAAAUAGUUGAAGGGAACCCUCCGAAAAAAAAAAAAGGAUUAUGGGUGUGUGUGACUUAAACUAUUGAUUGGGCUGUGCAGUAUGACUUGAUCUUAUCUGCCACAUUUGAAUUCACAAUUAAAUGUGUCUUUUUUCCAACCACCGCGCCAGUCCCCUACGGAGGAUAGGCCGGUUCGCUUGAAGAGAAUCUUUUCUAUGAUCAGACUCUAUCAUAACUUGCAUGAAUAGGCUCCGUAAUAUCCAAUAAUAUAAGUUAAAUAAUGUGAUAUUAUCCGCAUAACCCAUAUAAUAUAUGUCAAAUCAACAAUUUAAUACGAUGCAGAGGACACAACAAUACACGAUAGGCUGAAAGAUAAACAUUUAGCUGCACAGAGUAAAAUUAAACCGAAAUAUUGUUGGAUAUACGCUAUAACGAAUCCACAGCUAGGGACAUAGUUCCUUGCUCGUCAAUCGCUUGAAAAAAAAAAAUCGAACCCCAACCCCUGCAUAUAAUAUGCAAUAUUUCUACCAACUGAGUUAAGCUUACGGGAAUAUUUCUUACUGUAUUAACUACUAAUAAAGAGGAUAUAUGUUUUUCUUAGCCUACAUAAAUUACCAUCAACAUUUGUACUCUUAAAUCCAUUAAUUAUUACUAAACUUUUAUAACGAGACACGUUAUGAUCAAAACAUAGUAGAGAAAAGUGGAUAAACAUGACUUUAGUCCCUGCAUUUUUGGUAGUUUUAAAUAUAUAUAUUUUUUUGCAUAAGUAUAAUCAUAGUUUAGAGAAUAAAUUGGGAGUGAUGCUAAUUUUUUUUGGCACGAGAUGAUAAAUUCUACUCCCUCUUAAGCUAUAAGUCCUUUUUAGCAUUUUACAUAGAUUAAAAAAUAUAAUCAAUUUUUAUAUAGAAAGAAAAAUUAUAUUAUAAUUUACAAAAUUAUCCUUCAUUAAUGGAAUGCCAAAAAUAAAUUAAAGAAUUAAAAGAAAAAAAGUUAAAUAUAUAAUAGGAAAAUUGACAUUAUAUAUAUAUAUUUGCGUUGAUCCACCGAUUCUCAUGGACUUUGGUAAAAUCCAUUAAACACUUGUUCCCGUGAGCUUUGUUCAGUUGGUAGGGACAAAUGUAUUUUAUAUGCAGGGGCCGGGGUUCGAACCCCGACACUCCACUUCUCCAUAUUUAAAAUGUGUGAGCUUCAGCCACUAGGCUACCUGACAAAAAAAAAAUAAAAAUCCAUUAAACACUUGAAUUCAAUUGCGUGAUUACAUUAAUAUUUGUUUUUGAAGGAAACAUUAAUAUAUUAUUGGUUAUUAUUUUUUUUGGUGGUGCUGGGGUUUGAACUCCAAACCCUGCAUAUAUUAUGUAUUGUCCAUAUCAAUUGAGCUAAACUCACGAUGACAUUUUAUUGGUAUAUUAUAAAUUGACUUGGAACAUUUUUAACUAUUUAUAUUUUAGGACAAUACUUUUUUUUUAAUAACAAAUAAAUUGAUGAUUUAUUUUAAAAAUAAAAAAUAAUGAAAGAGGCUUUUGUACCAAAAUAAAAUAAAAAAGGGUCAUAUAUAUGCAUAAACCCUAACCUAACAAUCUCGUGACUGCGGGUUUUCGUUUCGCCUCUUCUUCUCACAACAGCCGACAGCAGCUUCAGCAAUGGUGGCGAAGCACUACAGACCCGCCGUGAGUUCUUCUCAUCUCUUCAAAUCACUUUAUCCUUUCACAUAUUUUUAACUGCUUCCACUUUUUCUAUCGUUUUAUUCGUUUAUCUUUCGGUAUUUUAAUUGAUGGGUAAUGAUUUUUUCCCCUAAGGAUGUGGAGGGUUUAACGUUCAUAGCCAAUUAUCCGUGAUGUUAAUUUAUACGAAUUAGCGCAAUAAAAGAGCGUAUUGACGGACAGCGAGAAUAAAUUGAGAUUGAUGAUUAAUACCUUUUGUUCGUGUGUGAAAAUUUGGAAUUUGCAAUUUAACUAUAAGAAAUUACAAUAUUUAAAAUAAAUUCUAGCUUUUUCUUCAAAUAACGAAUCUCUGUGUCGUAUUCAGGGGAAGAAAAAGGAAGGAAAUGCCGCUAAGUUUGUCACCAGGACACAAGCACUCAAGCAGCUUCAAAUCAGUUUACCCCUUUUCAGGUAUCGUAUGCCGACAAUUCUAUUUUAUUAUGAAAAUAAUGUUGUAUGAUGUGAAUAUUUGAUUCUGAUAUUAGGGUUUAUAAAUUUUAGGAAACUGUGCAUUUUGAAAGGUGUAACUCCGAGGGAACCAAAGAAAAAGUUCAAGGGAAAUGAUAAGACUUACUACCAUGUCAAAGAUAUUAGCUUUUUACAUCAUGAGCCUUUGGUUGAAAUACAUAGAGCAAUAAGAGUGCAUGAGAGAAAAAUUAAGAAAGCCGAGGCAAAGAAAAACGUUGAACGUGCAAAUAGGCUACGUGAGAAAACACCCAAACCCAAGAUAGAUAGGAUAAUCCGCCAGAGGUACCCAAGAUUUGUUGAUGCACUUGGAGAAUUGGAUGACUGUCUUACAAUGGUACAUCUUUUUGCUGCAGUACCUGCCACUGAAAGCAAAAAAAUUGAUGUGGAGCUUGUCCACAAAUGUCGAAGGUAUAUAUACUUGGAAUUAUAAUCACUUUAGAUUAAUAUGUCAUGAAGAAUUUAGGUCUUUGUGCCUUAAUCUUUACUUUGAAAAUAAGGUCUAGGAGAGUAUAAUAUAAUUUAUAUUAGUAUCAACAUCUAAUUGGCAUUUUCAUGCAUUUUUUUUUAAAGUGCAACCUAUUAUGCUGCACUGCAAUAAUACUUAUCAUAUUUAUUAUUGUCUGCCUAUGUUCUAGAUUGGCGCAUGAAUGGCAAGCAUUUGUAUCUCGUACUCACAAGUUAAGAAAAACAUUUGUAUCUGUUAAAGGCAUAUACUACCAGGUACCGUUUGUAGCCAUCGAUCAUGUUCAUUGUUAAUCAUAAUUGUACAUUUUAUAAAUAUUUAUUAUGUUGUUUGUGCAGGCUGAAGUUGAGGGUCAGAAAAUAACAUGGUUAACUCCUCAUUCACUGCAGCAGGUUGUGUCUGAGGAUGUUGACAUCCCUACUAUGCUAAACUUUCUGCAACUCUAUGAGGUCAGUUUAAUUACAUAUUUAAAUUAAGUAUGUUCAUUUUUUUGACAACUUGUCAAUAUGCAUAUCCGAAGUAAUAGGAUCAUAGAUCUAAAUAUAUUUUAAUCAUGUAUACAUUUAAUUUGAAUAAGUUCUGUUAGGAUCGUUAUGUCAUUCAUGUAUAAACCAAAUUUAGUUAUUCAAUUACAACUGACAUCCAUAUACUAAUUUCUUAAAUAUCUAUAAUGAAUUGAUGCAGCCUCUUCUUUGUUUUGUCAAUUUUCACCUCUAUCAUUCCAUUAAUUUGAAGUAUCCUCCCAUGCUUGAUCCUCGCUUGGAGGCCUUGGCAGCAGGUACUGUUUGAUUAACUUAUAUCAAACUUUAUAAACAUGAAUUGCUGCAAAGCUUGGAAUUAUCUCCUGAUCACUUUUCUUAUAAAAUUUUGUAGAUAUAUAUGCAUUGUCAAGAUAUUUAAAUGGCAACACCCGACCUGCUAUACUGAAUUCUGAAACCUCCCAAUUAGUUGAAUCUGAGCAACUGGAGUCCAAGCAAGAUGGGGCACAGACCCAAAAUGAAAAAUCUGAACUAAGACUUGCUCAACUUCAACAUCAACUUCCUUCUAAUGAACCAGGUGCACUAAUGCAGCUAGUUGAAAAAGUUGCAGGCGAAGGUGAAGAGGAAUAUGAUCAAGAGACACGAGAAUGCAAAAAUCUCUUUCGAAAUGUCAAAAUCUUCUUGAGCAGAGAGGUAUGACUUUAUAGUAUUUGCUGAGUUAGAGUUUGUGUAAAAUUUUCAAUAUAAAAUGUAAGAAAUUGUGAAGAGUUCAUAUAUGGACUGGUGAUAUUAUAAACGGGCAACAUUUCUCAAAGAUUCAUACUUAGAAGUACUAGAAACAUACAUAAAAAUCACUUCUCAAUGAGACACUUGAGUACUUUUCAUAUUAAAAUUGUGUGUGUAUGUGUGCUGUUUAAACUUGCAUUUAUUUUGGAAUUAUUCUAAUGAUUGCAUCUGUUUUGGUUUAAUUAUUCAGGCACCAAGGGAAUCAUUGCUUUUUGUUAUUCCUGCUUUUGGUGGUACAGUUUCAUGGGAGGGAGAAGGGGCUCCCUUUGCAGAAUCUGACCAGAGCAUUACUCAUCAGGUUUGUGUGAUUUAUAUGACAUAACUUUAUUGAACUUCCUUCAAUGUUUGCUUAACUAUUGCUUUCAUUUCUUCAGAUCGUUGAUAGGGAAUCUCAAGGACACAGAUUCCUCUCAAGAGAAUAUGUUCAACCACAAUGGGUAUUUGACUGUGUGAAUGCACGGAUAAUUUUGCCAACAGACAAUUAUUUUGUGGGAAGGUAACUUCUAAUUCAUUUGUGUUGGUGUACCGACUUCUGUACAUAUAUUCUAUAUACGCCUGUAUUUCCGUAUGUGAUGCCUCUUUUAUCAUUAGGAUUCCUCCACCGCACUUGUCGCCUUUCGUUGACUAUGACGAAGGAGCAUAUGUUCCGGAGUAUGCAAAGACCCUUAAACACUUGCAAGCUGCUGCCAGAAAGGAAGUCCUUCCACUUCCAGGUGCUGAAAAAGAUCUGGAAGAUCCUCAAAAUCUUCUGGCUGAGGGUAUUAUUGAUCGUGCAGCUGCAAAUGAAGCGGCUGAGAAAAAGCAGAAGGUAUUAAGAAGAACGGUGCAUCAGGAUUGUUAAAUGAGUGGAGUGUAUCAUUCUAUUGAUAUGUAUAGUAAUUCCUUUUCAAUGGCUGUUUUGCAGCUGAUGAAGCAGGAGCAGCGAUUCCGUGAGGAGUUGAAGAAAGAACUAAAGGGUGAAACAUACACUUCAGCAGGGUCUGCUGUUGAAAAAGAAACAUCUACCGCAGUCAUUGAGACUGGUGAAUCAACUAAUAAUGUUCAAGCUAAUACUGAUGAUGGUGCUGAGAUGGGUAAACUUUUGUUGUCACGCAGAAAGAGGAAGCUACUCGAAGCUAUGCAGGUAGACUUUUUUAUGAAAUUCUUAGUCAUAUUAGUUAUAUUGCUUUUGUAUUUUGUUUUAUGAAUUCUGAAGUUGCGAUUUUACCAAUUACUAUUCUAUUUAUUAUUUAAUCCAUAGUGGUUGCCAAGUGGCAGGUCUGUCUGGUAGUUAUUAUAUCUGAGAUAAUGUAGUAUUUUUCUGUUGGUUUUGAUGUUCAUAAUUUUGUUCUGAUAUUCAUAAUUUUUGUUGUUGAAAUCUGUCAUUCAGAUAUCUAAUGAGCGCAAGAAAAAUAAACAUGAUACUAUCAUCAAACGGAAAAAGAAACUAGAUGAAGCUCAGAAUCAAAGGAGUUGAAGGAUUCUGCAUUCUCAAGGGUUCCAGUUAUAUGCCAUAUCAUUCUGUGUUAUAGGAGUUAGCUGAUUUGAAAAACUAGUUUUCUUUUAUUGUUGGUUGCAACUAUAACUUGUUUUUAGUCUUUGUUCUUUCAGUUUUGUAACGGAUGAGUAAGGACCAAAGAAAUUUUUGAUUUUAUUUUACAGUUCUCAGGUUUUUGAUACAUCUGGAGAAGGGAAAAAUUGCCACACACCUGAAGGGGUAGUGGACAAACUCUGCAGAAACGUUGUACUGACUUAUUAUCCUUGUUAAAACGACCUUGUCCUUUCCUUAUAUAUAGGAUACCGUUUUUAGAUUUGAUUUAAUUUGCAUCUAUUCUCAUGUUUAUAACUGUAGACUACGGUAUAUUAUCAUCGAUCGAUCAUAUCCAUAAGUGCACUUCUAUAAUUCUCGAAAAUCAUUUUAUUAUAGAUUACAUUUUUUUUUUUACAAAAGUUAUAUAUCUAUGUUUUUUUGUUUAAUUUUGAAGACAAAAAAGCAAUUAAUACAAGAAAAGGGGCAGUUUAUUUGCAGUAUCUUAUAGCGCAAUCACUUAUCAUGAUUAGAGCUUAUGUGCAAGCUUUCAUAAAUAAGCUUUUUUUAUAGCAAAUAUGCUCAACACAGCGCAGGAACUCACUUUAUGCCGUUAAAAAUACUAGUGUCUCAUCUUCCUGGUUGGUUGCAAGGACCUCAAAUCACAUAAACUAUUCAUUAUGAUUUAAAUAGUUCUAUUAUUCUCUCUCUUUCUAAUCCAUCGUAAUUAGGAUAUCCCUACGUGCUUAAGUCAGUUAGCUCUGCAACGACACUAACUCUCAAGUCGAUCGUUGGACAUUCAACUACUUAGGCAUGAAAUUGAUUUGCUUCUCAAAUAACAACAGACUUCAAAAAUCGAACAAGAAUUGUUUUCUCUAGUCUCCCUUGUUGUCCUCUAACUUGCUUAAUUCUUUAAUAAUAACCGUUGUAUGCAAAAUAUCAUGUAUCAAUUUAUUUUUUGAUAAACUAAGAUAUCAUCAAAUACAAUUGCAGAGACGAAUCUCUCAAUUCUAUUUAAGAGGUUGAUAUCUUACAGCAUAUGUUUUCAUAUGUUUUCAUACUAUUGACUGGAAAAAUAUCCUUUCAACAAAUAAACUCGACGAUCAAUCUAUUACUCAAGUUAGAUUAUUAAAGGUUUCUUAGUUGAUGAUAUGUUUAAUGCCUUGAGUGUUUGUUUGUUGUGUAAGAAAUAAGUAAUGGUGGAUAAUCGCUGUAAAAAAUGUUAAGAAGAAAGAACAUACAAAUGUAAAAGUGCAAAAAAGUAAAGACAAAAGUAAAAGAGAAAAUUGUAUUACUAUAAAGAUAAAUGAGCUAAAUACAUGGUUUGAAUCAAACAACUAAUAAAUUGUUUUAUCUUAUGUUGGCAAAUGAGUGAUAUAAUAUGUUAACUAUAGAGAACGAAAAUGAAUUUCUUUGCAUGGAGAACGAAUCUACUACUUAUAGAAGAAAGAAGAAACCAACUCAGUUCCAAAAAGUUCCCAAGAUUCCCAAAGACGAAGGCUGGGAAGGGAACGGAUGUGUGAUCUAAUGAGUGAACAUUUGAGGAAUAGCCUAUAUGUUAAUUUCAAAAGAAAUUUGAACUUGACAUUUUAAUUUAAACCAAUGCAUGAUUGAAGUGUUUCGACAAGGAAAUAUCCGUUACUAACAUUUCAAGACCUGAAAAACGGGAGAGCAUAUUGUGCAUGUCUCUCUAGUUAAUGUCUUCUAUGAACUACAACCUAUUUAUUCAAAACAAUCACUCACAAUCACGUGAUGUUUCAGACAACCAAUAUGAUACAUUCUUUCUAUUAAUCGGUAUUAUGCAGGUAUUUUAAAAGUUUUUAAAAUAAAACCCUAAAUCUCGAACCCACAAAGAAUUGCUUCAAUUACAAGUCACUCUCUUUUUAGACUAUUAAGGCGAACCAAUUUGUUUGAAGUUAAGACAGUUUUUUUUUUUAAUAAACUAAACUAGUCCAUCCAAAUUAACACGAGGAGAAUCAACCUAAGACAACACAUUCCAAAUUCUAAGCCAACACCACCGAUUAGGAUGAUUUGACGACAACUUCGCUUCAUAUAAUAUAACCUUCAACAAAUAUUCCUAAAUGGUGCCUUGAAGACCGACGUUACCCCCAUCAUAUGAUUACCACAUUAAAGAAUUAAGUACUUCUACCAAAUACCAAUAAGUUGCUAAUACCCCACUGCAUGAGUUAAAUAUUGGAAAUAAAGCAACUCAUGCUGCAUUUACCCCCAUUCAAUUCACCUAUGCCCUAUGGUUAUGCAAACAAGUACUCCAUCCGUUUCAAAAUGAGUGUUGCUUUAGCCAAUUGCACACAUAUUAAGGUAUUGAAUGAAUAAUCAUUAGAUAUAUAUAACACUUUUACUAAACUGCCCUUACUUUAUAAGAAAAUGACAAACUUAAAAUUGCAUUGAAAAUUGUGAGGAAAAGUUGAAGAGGAUAAAGUUGAAAGAAAAAAAUUAAAGUUGUAUUAAAAAUAUAAAAUGACAUUCAUUUUGAAGCAAUUUUUUUUGGCUAAAGUGACACUCAUUUUGAAACGGAGGGAGUAAAAUUUUACCUUCAAAAACAACUACUAGGAUAAGAUGAAGCCCACUAGAUUAUUAAUUUUUUUGGCAUAUUUUUUACUAUCAACAUUUUUGUUGACAGAGGGAAGCCUAGUAGAGAGACACCAUUCAUCAUACAAUUAAAAUAGAAUAUGAUAUUUGAAUAAUUUUUUUGGUACAACUUUUGGGACAAUUUUGUUGUGUUCUCCUCUUCUCAUUAGUCAUAAGAAGAUAAUGUGAAUAUGAGAAAGAAAAUUAUACAAAAGUUGUACAAAAAUAGUUGUACAAAUAUCAUUUCUCAUUAAGAUAAUAGCAAACCAAAUAAAAUGCCUUCCUCUAAAAAAGAAAGAUAAAAUGCUAAGUUAGUCUGGUUACAAAGACCUUAGUUCGAACCUCGCUGUUACGGUUAUUUUAUUAGCGGUUGAUAUGUAAAUACAUUUUUAGUGGUGGAAGUUGUUCAAAAUAUUAGAGGGACAAGCACUAACUAAAAUAUUACCCCAUUCUGAUCCAAUUAUAAGUGAAAUUAUCUCAUCUUAAACUUAUAAAGAAUGAUAGUUAGGUGCAUUUAUUUUGUUAUAUUGUUUUCAUGAAGGGAAAAAAGAAAGAAAUGUAUCUACUAAACUUUUCCCCAUUAUCAGUCGUCUUUUCACAAUAUUAAGAGAGUGCUGUAAAAUGUGGGUAGAUUUUGUUUAGAAAGUGAGUUUUUCUCUCUCUUAAAAGUAGUAUAAUUAAAAUUCAUAAAAAUCACAUGUAAUUUAUUUAUCUACUACGAAAUAGUUUAGUGACAAGAACCACACAUACUAAGCGUAUAGAAGUAGAGAAUUGUAGAUUUAAACUCACGUUCAAACACAUAAAAUAUCUUUAGAACUACCAAUUGAGCUGUACUUACAAACAAGUUGUAUAUAAUUUUAUUAAAGAUUCAAAAUAACAUCCACACAAAACAAAAAAUAAAUAUAUGAAAAAAGAGAUGUAUCUAAAAUUAAAAGGUUCUACCACUAAAUACUUCUAUAAGAGCUCUAUGAAUCAUAUGACUUUCAUGGACUUUGGUGAGUCUUGAGAACGAACUCAGUUAAUUUUUUUUAUAAUUAAAAAAAAGACAAAAUCAAUAGUCUUAGAAAAGGGAAAACAAAUAUUAAUUUUUCCUUUUGUUUUUGUGGAAACGAUGGUGGAAUUGUAUCAGCCGUGAAGAACAGGAGGAUUGUUACAUUUUGAUAUCCCACGCGUCUCAAAAUAAUUGUUUUUAAGGUUUUUAUACACAAAUUAAGAAACAUAAUAAAUAAAUCAACAAAUAUACUAAUUUUACUAAACUAACCUUGCUAUUUAUUUCGUUUUUUAUUCUUUAAAAAUAACUCAUAUGGUAGUAGUUAAUUAUCGUAAAGAUUUGUCAAAGCCAAAAAAAAAUUACCGUAAAGAUCAAAGUCACUAAUCUAAUGCAGUUGAUGAAGAAAAAACCACGCUCAAGUAAAAACAUUAACUAUAAGAGUGGUAAAUAGACACUUUCAUGUUAACACAAGCUCUCCCUCUCAAAAGAAAAAUGUUAACACAAGCUCACGAUGGUUUUUUGGAAAAAGAAACAUGUGGCAGUUAUAAAAAGUUGUGAGGGUAAAGUUGGAAAAAAUAUAUUAACUACACCUUAAAAAAAGAAAUCGACUAAUAUUAUGCAACCUUUUUAUUUUGAUUAAACGACUAAUUUUGAUUUAACUUUGUUCUUUUUACGAGAAAAAGGAGUUUAACCAUCUCAAACAACAAACUAAAAACCAAUUAAAAAAAAAUCAUGAGUGAAUCACAAAUCUUCAACACACAAGGUUUUGACAAUCUAAUCUUUGAUAAACCAUUUGCAACUUAAUUUUCAUUUCCGAAUCAUGAGUGAAUUUUACAACCUAUGUUUUUUCAUAAAUUUCUUGAUAUUAUAAACAAGCUCAUAAUAAGGAGGGGAGAAGAUUUUUCAAGUAUUUUGUUUUGAAGAAAGAUUCUAUCAAGUCUUGUUUUCUUGUGUUUUCUCGAUUAGAGAGAUACUUACCGUCAAAUCUAUUUAUCUUUUUUUUAUUUUGUUUAAAUUUUCUCAUUUCGUUUUUUUCUCUCCUACCAAAUUAAUGACCUUUUUUAUUUUUUGAGAGACAACCAAAUCCAAUGACUUGAAUUGCAUAUGAUCUUAAUUAACAUGAGAUAAUUCCUUUUCCGAUAACGAAUGUCCCACUAUAAAAAAGAUGAAGACCGGCUUUCUCAUUCCUAUGUUUUCAGGAUGUUUCAUUUUUACGAUUCUGCCCUUUCUUUUAUGCUGUGGUCACUAAAACCAGACCCCUCUUUUGAUUUUUUUUAUAUCACCUUUUUAAAUGAAAAGUUCUAUUUAAGGCAUGAGAAUUCCACUUGAAUAGGAAAUUAAGAGACCACAACAAUGUCUUAUUUUAGUCUUUUAUGUGUAAUAAGGAUAAGGAUAGGAAUACAGUAAUAUGUAGGGGUGUACAUGGGUUGGGUAAACCCAAAAAACCCGUUAAAUCCACCCAAAAAAACCCAAAAAAGUGGGUUGGGUUGGAUGAUUGGGUGGAUAUGGUUUUAAAAAAUGAAAAACCCAUAAAAAAUAAUGGGUUUUGGAUAAAACCGGACCCAUACCCAAUAAACCAACUUACCCAAUAAUUUCCAAAUUUUAAUUUCAUUUUCAUAGGGAGGAAGAAGAAUAACAAAUGUUUUGAUCAUAAAUUUAGUUUAAUUUCUAAAAUUGACACAACAUAUCCUCUAUAUUGAAAAUAAAAAAAAAUAUUAGAGUUACAAAUUAUGAUGUUGCAAUUUAUAGUUACUUUGAUGCUAAAGCAAUUUUACAUCAUCCAACUUUAAUUUAUUUCAAGUAUUCGAUGAUCAAAUUUUUUAUUUAAUAUUAAAAUUUAUUAUUUUAUGAUGCUAAAAUAUAGUGAAAAUAUGUUACAUAAUUAUUUUAAGAAAAUAAAAAGUUGAAAAUUUUUUAUGAAAAAAAUACAAGGACUCGUCGUUUAGUCAUUUCAUAUUAACAAAAAAAAAAUGGGUAACCCACUACCCAACCCAAACCAAACCGAAAAUUAGUGGGUUUGCCCAAACCCACCCAUUAAUUUAACGGGUGAAUAUUUUACCAAACCCAAACCGGAGUACCCUAUAUGAUUCGGGUCUUGGGUUUGACCAAAUCCAACCCAAAUCAACCCAUUUACACCCCUAGUAAUAUGUUCACCACCGUCUUAUUGAACCCAGAGGACUACAAAUGGUCUGAAAAUGAAACCCUUAUUGUUUUGUAAAAUUAAGUUAUAAUAUCUUUUUUGAACAAAAAGCUAAGUUAUAAUCUAAAGAAAUAUAGAUGACGAAAAACGAAAAUGUAAAGACCAAUAGCUUUUACAACAUUAAUUUUUUUGUUUACAACUUUUAUAAGGUUUUUAUUUGAAAGAAACUUUUAUAAGGUUUAUGAAUCGGUAAUUUUUAUGCAGAACCACUCUUUCAUAUUACUUCAUCCGUCCCUGUAUCUAAGCACCUAUUUGAUUUUAUUUUUAAAUGUAACCCCUUUUCAAAUUACUAGAUGUAUUUAUUAUUUUUUUUCCUAAACAUAUCCCUAAUUAAUAUUCCAUCCGUUUUUUAAUAUAAGCAAAUUUUGACUUUUAGAUUCAUUCAAUCAAUGAUGUAUGUGGUUUAUAUUAUAGAUCACAUACAUCUUUGAUUGAAUGAACCUAAAAGUCAAAAUUUGCUUAUAUUAAAAAACGGAGGGAGUACACAUACAAAUAAAUGACAAUUUCGUAAUAUUAACACACAAAACAGACACAUUAAUUACACAAACAAUUUUUCUUAAAAAAUAUGAAAAAGACAAUGGGUGCUUACAUUGAAGGACGAGGUAGUAUAAAAUUUAGUAACCAGAAGAAAUUCACAGUUAAUUACAAUUUUAUGGUGAGUAAGUAAUAUCGAAGUGGACCAACCAAUUAGCAUAAAAACAAACCAAAAUGGUUUAGGGCACUUUAUUAUAGACAAUGAUAAGUUUAAAGUAUCAAACUUUUCAACUUUUAUAUGUCGGAGGAUUGCAUUAGAAAGAUCUAAAACUGUUGUGACUAAAACUCUAAAAGGAAUAUAUAGUCAUGCUCUUCAUUAAGUCUUUAAAAUGCCAUUGGCUGAAUAAAAGUGUUUUCUAUACACUAGUAAUAUAUAAUGGGUCAUGCUAUCUUAUGUCUAUAAAACACAUGUUAAGCAUUAAUGUUAUUCCAUUAAUAGUAAGAAUUUAUUGAAAAAAUUAAUAUUAAAUAUUUUGAGCAAUAAAUUAAGACAAUUUCCAAUACAUGAUUUAUAAUAGUAGAAUUUUUAACAUAUGCUCUAAGGAUACAAGUUAACAUUUCCCAUAUAUAUAUUUAAGGAUGGAACCGAAGAGCGCUUAGAUGUGACGACAUGAGUUUCUUUUAGCUUAAUCAAGGUCAUGGGUUCAAAUCCAGUCUUGGGCAUGCAACAACGUUAAAACUCUUAGGAAGAGUUUGUCACCUAUUUAGAUUUCACAAGACUCGAAAGAUUCCUCUGCGCAAUGCAGUUGCGCGUGUAUGGACGAUAUUCGGUUAAGAAAAUAUAUUUAAUGAUAGAUCCAUAAACUCUGAUUAAUAGGGGACAAAAUCAUAUACUAUAAUUAUUUAUAUAAAAAACUUACAAAUGUAUACUAGUGAUAAAUUAAUGAUAUAAUUAUUACUUUAUUUGUUUCAAAUUAUAAAUUAAUUUGAUCGGUUCAUAUGAAUUAAAAAAUUUAGUUAAUUUUAUAUAGAAAAGAGAAUUAUGAGUUAUUUUAUAAAAUUAAUAACAUUUCUCAACAUCUCUUAACAAAAUAAAAGACUAAGUGGGGUAGGUAUUACAAGAGAUUCUUGAUAACUUUAUUUUUCUCUCCAAUGAUUUGCAAAAAAUAAUAGAGAGAGAAAAAGGAAGAUAUAUAAUAAAAACAUAAUGUAAAUAUGAGAGAGAAAAUUGUCAAAAAAUUGUUAGAAAGUGGUUGUACAAAUAUUAUUUCUCGUACUACAAAUGGUCUCAUGGCCUUAAUGUUAGUUUGGUAAAGGUAAGUUAACAUGUAAAGAUAUAGGGUGUGUUUGUUUCAAGUUUACCAAAUUUAUUCCUAGGAAUAUAAAGAUGAGAAUUUUAUUCCAAGGAAUUUAGGAAAAAUAUGUUUGGUUAGCUUUAUAAUAUUCCUAGGAACCAUAAAAAUAGGGAUUAUAAUAGAUAAACUAUUUAUGAAUUUAUUCCCAUCUCCAUGAGAACUUUAUUCCCACCCUUUUUCUUGGGAAAUUUUUUCUAUUCCCAGGAACAUUUUAUACCCCGGAAUAAAAUUUAGUAAACUUGUAACAAACAUAGGCAUAUACAUUCCUAUCAUUUUAUUCCCGCGAAUCAACAAUUAUAACUUGAAACAAACACACCCAUAGAGUCUUUAAAAAAAAAUGUAAAGAUAUAAAGGACAAAAUAUGAAUCUGUAAUUUAUAACAUUUGUUAAAAAAAAAAAAAAACUUUUAUAACAUUUAUGAAUCUGUAAUUUUUAUACAGAACCACACUUUUUAUUCUAAAAUUUGUAUUAAUAAUAACUAUAAAUUCAUAAAAAAUGAUAUGUAUGUAAUAUUAAUAUUGGUGUUAUGUAAUAUAAAUUCUUAAAGUAAUAUCGAAGAAUUGUUUUUGAACGUGUCCCAUUUUUAUUGGUGUUGGUAAGCUACCCAUUUUUUUUCUCCAAAUAAUUUAGUGGUUAGAAUUCAUAUUUUUAAAGAUAAAUAAGUGAGGUGUGUCCGAAGUUCGAAUCUCAGCCCCUGCAUAUAAUAAUACAUGUCCCUACCAAUUGAGAUAGGCUGAUGAUGACAGCUACCCAAAAUUCUUUUUUUUUUUAGCUACCCAAAAUUCUUUAAAGCAACCUAAAAAAUUCCAAACAAUUUGCAUGGAGAGAUAUCAGUGUAUCACACGCACCAAUUAAAAGACAGAUAUCCCAGCAUAUAUAGUGCUUCGAAUCUUUUGAUAUUGUUUGAAAUUUGUUGGCCACAUUGAAGAGGAAGUCGAACAUCUCAUGUAUUACACGUCAGAACCCAUCAAUCACCCAACAUUGAUAAUCCUUUGGAUUUUUAUAUUAAAGAAUAAUCUUUGAAUCUUAAAACCAAAAAUCUAAACCUGGAGAAUACUGUUUAGAAUUGGUUUAGUGUAUAUCAAGUCUGUUUUCCCAUGCUGUUUUCUUUGUUCAAAAUGAUGUUCAUCACAUAAAACUCACAUACACAAAUGUUAUGUCUUAUGUUCAAACUCGUAACGAAGAUGUUCAACUUAACAAGUUGCAAUCAUUUGCGUCUAAUCUUUUCCCUAUUUUUUGUUGUUUAAAAAGAGGUUAAUGUUUGAUCUUGAAAAUCAUUAGAAAAGACACCACAAUAUCAAAAUUCUAAUUGAAAAGGACCAAAGAUAUAUAUGCUUUCUAAAGUAAUAGUUCUAGAUAUUAAAUUAGUGUUGGAUUGGAUGUUUUAUUUUUUCACAAGCAAAAACGAUUUAUCAAUAUUCAUUUAUGCUAAUUCUCCUGCACUGAACCUUUAUUAUAUUAUUUCUAUGAAUAUUAUUUAUUUCUGCCAUGCAUGCAGGGAACAAAUUAAUGUUGAACCGGACCCGCAUUGAGUAAGACUCCAUUGCUUGAAUUCGGUGGCCAUGGUGUACUGUCUUAGCUUCUUCUUGUAAAAAUGACCUUAUCCUUUUAAUGUAUGUAUAGGUUAGCCUUUUGAGUAUCAUGUUUUUUCGUAUAAACUAUAAGGUGUCCCCAAUUACAACUCCGUAGACUAAUAACAGAAACAAAGUAUUAUUUCUACACAAUAAUAAGGGGGGGACGUAUACGCACUUAAAUCUAAAACGUGCUUAGAAUGAGCACAGAAAAGAUACCAAGUAUGGAGGUGGAAUACCCAAUUGCUGUCUUAGUGGCUGCACAAAUGAAAAGCACAACGAAACAAAGCGCUUAAAAAGGUUCAGAGUCACUAGCUACGAAGUGGACCUAACCUAAGUGCUUAACACACUUUAAUAUUUGAUUAUUGACCUUGGACCAAACCUUUUAACGUAUUAAUAAUGUAGAAAGCAAAACUAAUAACUAGGGAGAUAUGAUUAUUAUGCUUGUGCUUGUUCUAAUCAUCUUUCAUAUGUCACCUUCGACUAUUGACUCAGUAGAUUGAAUUCAAUAAUUCACCUAAAUAAUUCAAAACCCUUUUUAUCCUCAGAAAAUUUAAAGAAAUAAUACCCUCAACUCAAAAGGAUAUUUGCUAUUCUAUUAUGUUGAUUUUAUACAAGUUGAUAUUGUCACAUGAAUCAUGAUGAAUAGCUCAAUCAUGAAAUUGCACUACAUUUGAAAUCAUAUAUUGGAGCAUUGCUUUUUAUCAUCUUUGAUGAGAAAGAAUUACUAGAGACAACUUUUCCAAUAUAAAAUCUUCACAUGUAUACGCAUAAAUUUGUCAAAUAAUAAAAAUAAGAAAACAAGUGAACAUAAUGAUAAAAGCUAUUCCAUGAUGAGUAACAUUCAACUAUAAGCAAAAGAUACUAAUAAUUGAAAGUGUGACACUGACAUUUUAAUUUUUUUUGAGGACGGUAUCUAUUGAUUUAUGUGACAUCCCACUUGGUUACGUGAAGUACUAGAGCUAGCUACUCUAUGUAUAGAUAUAGUAUAAUGCUGUUUUUUUCCCUGUGCAUUAACAUAAUAUAUAAACACAAGGCUUCAUCGUGCUAUUUCAUUCUUGUGGCACAAGAAAGUGGCUAAGUAAUUUUGGGCUGAAAAAUAAUAUGGCAUUUUGUAACCAAAAAAGUUUCCAAAAUUGGAAACCAUUCAUAGCAGUAGUGCUCUUGCAAUUUGGAUAUGCUGGUAUGGAUAUUCUGUCCAAGUCUGCACUGAACAAAGGAAUGAGCUGUUAUGUACUAGUCGUUUAUCGCCACGCCGUUGCCUUCGUUGUCAUCGUUCCUUUUGCAGUGAUCUUAGAAAAGUAUUGUUUACUUUCUUCCACUUGUUUGUAUAUACAUGAAUUUGAAUUGAAGUAAUUGAUAUGCUACAUUUUUUUUUAACAGGAAAGUAAGACCAAAGAUGACAUUGUCAAUCUUUUUGAAGCUAGUGGCUCUCAGUGUGCUAGAGUAAUUCUCUGCAUGGUUAAACAUAUUCUUCAAUUCCAUGGAAAAACUUACCUUGAUUUUGAUAGUAUUUAAUUUCUUAUUGCAGGCCUGUUAUUGAUCAAAAUUUAUAUUUUUUGGGAAUGAAGUAUACAACAGCUACUUUUGCAGUUGCCAUGUUCAAUGUCCUUCCUGCUAUUACCUUUGUCGUGGCUUGGAUUCUCAAGUAACAUUUCCACUUCCACUUAAUUGAUCAGAUUUUUAUAUGCAAAUAUUAGUUGUUAUGUUAGUAUGUUAGGUUAGUAGUCACGAUUUGAACCCUGAAUCUCUUUCUCAAAACUCUUUCGGGCGUUCUAGCUCAACCACUUGAGCUACGGCGGCUGCUACACUUUGAAAACUGUUAAUAAAAUUAAAUAUACACAUAGCAGUCCUUGUUGUCUAAAAAUGAGUUAGAGACAAAAGAAUAUAAUGUCUAUAAUUUUAACAUAUCUAAUCCUUGAUUUUUAGCAGUGAGAAAUAUUUGCUAUUUUUUAGUACAUUUAGUUAUUUAACUAAUUGCUUAUUGUGUCCAGAAUGGAGAAGAUAAAAAUGAGAAGUGUACAUAGUCAAGCAAAGAUUGUUGGGACAAUAGCCACUGUUGCAGGUGCCAUGGUUAUGACAUUAAUAAAAGGCCCAAUACUUAAUUUAUUUGGAAUACAUGAAAGCAGUGCUCAAAUCCAACAUAAUGGUGGGGUAAAUCUACAACAUGCAGUAAAGGGAUCAAUUAUGAUCACAAUUGGCUGUUUUAGUUGUGCUUGUUUCACAAUUCUCCAAGUGAGUUUUUAACUAUAUAAACUAAUAUAAUGACAUUUUCUUUCUUUCUUUCUUUCAUUCUUUAAAUUUUGUGUAUUCUUAUUCCUUAAUACAGUUUAAUCUGUUAAUUAAUUUAUGUAGGCUGUUACACUUGAAACCUAUCCAGCUGAGCUAUCACUUACAGCAUGGAUAUGUCUAUUGGGAACAGUUGAAGGUGGCAUAGUAGCUUUGAUUAUGGAAAGGGGUGAACCUUCUGUUUGGUCUUUGAGUUGGGAUACAAAACUCUUGGCUGCAGUUUAUAGUGUAAGUUUUUGUAAACAUAAUCACCACCUUUUGAUCAAUGAUAAUAAAAAUACAAGCACAUUCAUUUGGCACUAAUAAAAAAGGACACACCACCUCCAUUUUUAAAAUAUAGUAAGACACAACCACAUAUUCUGUUUUUGUGUAUUGUGACGAGGGAGGGGGUGUCAAUUAUGAUUUUUUUAAUUUUUUUUAAUAUAAUAAAGAGAUGUCAAUUUUGAUCGACCCAAUUUUAUGUCCAAUGGGCCAUAAUUUAGGUUGAGUUUAAGUACUUAAGUACAUGUCUGAAAACAACUGAUUUAAUGCAUUUUUUCUUUGAAAAAUUUGAAUACUUUACUCAUUAAAAAUGGAAAUUUGGCAUAUCCCAAUGUGUUUUAAGCAGAGCUACCAAAUUUUAGGCCUAACGAACCUAUGCUAUGGGCUGGUGGUCAUUGGAAUAUCCCAAUGUUAAUCAUUGAAUUAAUUCAACAAAUGAGAGAUACUACUACUAGAUUUCAUUUGUUGGAUUAAUCCACACAACCAAUAUCUAAAGCUAUCUAUCUUUGUCAAAAGUUACUAAUAAACAAACUGAAAAUGUUUAUUGAGCUGUUCUGUCUUGUGUCAAACUUCACAAGUGUGAGCUGAGUGUCCAAUCUAUUCCAAUAUGCCUUACCACAAACAAGUCCAGAAUCAAUGAAACAAUCUUUUAACAAGACACUUGACCAUAACUGUCCAAAAUGACUCAUAUAUAUGACUCUCAGUGUCGGAAAUGCUUCCAACACUUGGACAAAACCUCAUGGAAACAUUUAUAAGGUUUCAGGUUUAUAAUAGAAAACGUAUUAAUAGACUGCUUGAACAACAUUGCCAUUAAUAAAUCAUACAGUAACUGCUACAUAUAAUAACUUUUAUCUUUAAAUAUUCACAUGCAGGGUAUAGUUUGUUCAGGAAUGGCCUAUUACAUCCAAGGAGUGGUGAUGAGAUACAGAGGUCCAGUAUUUGUAACAACUUUCAAUCCCCUUUGCAUGGUCAUCGUCGCUAUCAUGAGCCCCUUCAUUUUGGCCGAGAAAAUUUACCUUGGAAGGUAAUUCAUUAUUAGUGAUUGAUUGACAGUAAAAAGUUUUUAUUGACCGACUGUGUAUAUAAAUUAAAUUCCUUCCGAUUAAUUUUUCAGGGUGAUCGGUGCCGUUGUGAUUAUUUUAGGACUAUAUUUAGUGGUAUGGGGUAAAAGCAAAGAUUAUGACAGACCAAGUCCAAUUAUUAAAGAUGAAAUAUUACCAGCUAAGCAAACUAUAGAGAACAACGACAAAGAGAAAUUUCAUAGCCAUGAGGUCAUCACUAGCAGCAACUUUGGUGCAAUAGCUCGAGAUGAACAAGUGUGAGGAAAUUAAUACUUCCCACUUUGAUUCAAUCAAUAGUCCAAAUGGCUCCAUUUAACAUCAACAACAAUUAUAUAUAGGUCUUUGUUUUUGGUUGUUUAAUCUUUUGAUUAUGAAUAUAAUAGUAGACAACAAAAACACCAUUUAAAAUACGUACUAAUGAUUUCAAAGGUUGGAGAUACAUAUAUUCCAACCAACUCCCAUAUUACUAUAUUAUUAUGAGUUAACUUUAUGACACCAUCGAAUUCACUUGUUGUAUCCAAUAUAAAAUUUAGUUUUCAAUUCAACCUAACAAAAAUAGUAAAUGACCUCAAAUAAUAAUAGUACUAGAAAACAAGUUCGGAUAGAAUUUCCUACCUAAUAGGGAACAUGAUUAAGUACCCCUCAUAUAUAGAUUAGUAGAUUAAUUCAAAUAGAGAUCUACAACUAAAAAUGAAAGAAUAACUUGUUGAAUAUUAUUUUGGCCUCCUCAUUCUAUACACAUUGUUUGUUACGCAAAUCCAACUAAAUAAUAUUUAAAUGCAACAGAAUACUAACUAAAUUAGUGACUCAGCAUAGAAGCACAAAUAUAAAAAAAAUGGUGUACUGAUACACCAAUAGCCAAUUGUCCUAGUGAUAUGGCAUUUCAUCUCAACUGCUGCCACAUCAUUUUCAAGAUGUCUUGUCUUGCACAAUUGUUGCAUUUAACAGUAAUAUUAUUCAUUCACCAUUCUAUAUCAUCUGUGAAUUUUUUUUUUCUGCCCUAGUUUAUGCCAAAAAAUACAAAAAUGUCCUACUUUUUCGAAAAAUUGCAUAAAUAUCCUAUUUUUUUAGUGUCUCAGGUACCACUUCACUUGGAGUUGCGGGGUACCCUAAAAAGUGACAAAAUUUUUGUCCUUAUUGUACCCCUCUACUUGGAGUUGCGAGGUACUUUACUAUUUUUUUUUAAUUUUUUUCCUACCCCACAAGUGUGACUUGCGUUUUAUACUUUGGUUUUUUUUUUAAAUUUUUUUUUUAAAUACCCCUCUACUUGGAGUAGAGUGGUAUAAUAAAGACAAAAAAAAAAAUCAACAUGUAAUAAUAACUUAAUAAUAAAAAACUAAUUAAAAUAUUAUAUAACAAAUAAAAUACCAUAAAAUCUACAAUUAUUUGCAGGAAUGACCAGACAUCCUACAAACGAAAUAAAGAUUAGAUUUCUACUGAUGUCUAAUAUUAAUGCAAUCUCUGCGGGAAUGACCAGACAUCCUACAAACGCCGCAUCUUCUCUCAGUUUCCACAUCGUCCAUCUCGGUCCUAAUGCGAGUAAUUGGUGGACGACCUUUAUUUGCCCUACGCAUGGACUUGUUGGGAACCACCUUCAGUCCUUCAUAAUUAGGCCAAUAUGUCUGGUGGUGAACCACGUCGAAGUGGAUGUUGUAUACGGCGUAUACACACUCAUUCGUGAAUUUGUUAUCGACAAAAGUCUUGUAGUCGUGACAAAAGCUAGAACAUGCGGCAAUGACAUGUGAGCAUGGUAGGUGUAACACUCUGAAUCGUCCACAGUCACACCAUUUAUUUUGCAGGUCCACCUUGUAUUCUCCCUUUGGCAAUCCUUCUUUAUGGUCGAUGGUUUCACGGACGGAAAAGGUAUACCGAUCCCGGUCAAACUGAGCGACAUGAUGAUUGUUGGAUUUAAUCACCUCAUUCCUGAGAUAUUUCAUGCUGUUUUCUGAGAAUGGCUCACUAGAAUUUACCCUUGCCGCAUUAGGACCGAGAUGGACGAUGUGGAAACUGAGAGAAGAUGCGGCGUUUGUAGGAUGUCUGGUCAUUCCCGCAAAGAUUGCAUUAAUAUUAGACAUCAGUAGAAAUAUAGUCUUUAUUUUGUUUGUAGCAUGCCUGGUCAUUCCCGCAAAUAAUUGUAGAUUUCAUGGUAUUUUAUUUGUUAUAUAAUAUUUUAAUUAGUUUUUUAUUAUUAAGGUAUUAUUAAAUGUUGAUUUUUUUUUUUUUGUCUUUAUUAUACCACUCUACUCCAAGUAGAGGGGUAUUUAAAAAAUUGAAAAAAAAAAACAAUGUAUAAAACGCAAGUCACACUUGCGGGGUAGGAAAAAAAAUAGUAAAGUACCCCGCAACUCUAAGUAGAGGGGUACAAUAAGGACAAAAAUUGUCACUUUUUAGGGUAUCCUGCAACUCCAAGUGGAGUGGUACCUGGGACUCUGAAAAAGUAGGACAUUUGUGCAAUUUUUCGAAAAAAUGGGGCAUUUUUGUAUUUUUUUGGCAUAAACUAGGGCAUAAAAAAGAAAAAAAUCUCAUCUGUGCAUUGAUCCUGAAUGGUUUCUCUAUACUAACUGAGCUCAUUAAAAGAUGUGAUAAUUUAUAUCAAGUCUUAAGAUUUUUAUUAGAGAUGUAAUGUUUUUUGUAGCACGGAAGUCAAGAUCAUUAGCCCCCCUAUUUCCUCCGGCUCAAACUAUGAUAAUAUUGUAAUUGUGCUCAAAUACUCUUAUCCUGUUUUGGAUAGUCCCUCUCUUGUUUUUUGUAAUUACCAGCCUAGCCUUCAUCGUUCGAUUCACCAACACCAUGACUGACACUGCGAUUUGGCCUCAUUCCAACUUUGUAGCUUUGAUUUUUACGGUUGAUUCACAAACAUCUACAAGUAAAUUCCUUAAUGUUUGGAUAAAUAUAUGGUUUCAAAUUCUAUUUGUAUGAUUGAUUUAGUCUAACGUGAAGAUCCGGACCAAACACUUUUUCUCAGCACAUUCAUUUUUGACAACUAUUUUCUCAACAAAUUCAAGUUUAUAGUAUUAAACUUCCAUAUAUUGCUAAUACAAGUAAAUAACAAUACAAGUUGGAUAUAGUAGUAAUAAACAUAUAUCUAUACAAGUUGGAUAAUAAUAAUAAACAUGUCUAUUAUACUCUAUAGUAAUUAAUAAUAAUUCUUGCAGUUACUACUAUUUAAAAACAUUAAAAAUCAGCAUUUUUCACAAAACCUCAAAAUCUGCUGUGCCCUGAGGCAUAUUGACAGACAGCUAUCAAAUUACGAGAACUGUAGUGUUAAACAUGGUGAGGGAACCACAUAUUCUGUCCCUCCCUUUCCCACAUUGAUCAUCAAUCAAUCCAUUAUGACCAAAAAAAAAAAAAGAUGGAUAACGAAUUACUAUAUAUAUUAUUAUUUUUAUUCCACAUAUACUUAAAAAAUCCCUGUCUCUACUACAAGAAUCUUGAAACGGAGUCAAUGCAACUUUGUGUCCUUGUUGCCAGUAACAUGAUUUGUUCUUCAGCUUGUACUUUAGCAGCAGCACAACAAGUAGAUGGCAAUGCAGCAGAAUUUGUGAAUGGUUUUAAGGGACAAGAUCUUGAGAUGGUGGUAGAAGCAGAACGUGUGAGAUUCUUGUUUGUCAUGUCCACUUGUGCUGUGAAUAGAGAAUACACUGGUCUAUGGUCAGAGAAUUUUGACUCUCCUCUAACAUACAUUUUCUGAUUUAGUCCUUCUCCUUUCCAUAGAAUUCUAUCACACCUUCAGCAACCAAAAAAUAUUAAUUAAAAGAUAUCAAAUUUUAAUAGCUUUCGUAAUGUGAGUUGAAUCAUAAAAAUCAUACCAAGCAGGAGUGCGUCGUUUUUCCUUUGAUUUGCAAGUUUGAGCAACAUAUUGGUCAGAAUUCAUCAAGUAUUUGUAAGUAGGAGCAAAGUAUAUGCUCCCUUCAUUCCAACCUUCAAAUAUUCGUCCAGCAUUCUGCUCCAUCCUUAGUUGAUCUUUCUCUAGUAACGCCUUCAAGUUAUUGUUUUUUAGUAGCUCAUGAAUUUCAUCGUAACCAGCGGCAAGUCUAUAAUUCAAAUCCCCCAACCAAAUAAUGUUACUGCACAUAUACCAAAUUAAUUAAGAGUGUGUAGAUAUUAAAUAAUUAGAAAUUUGGAAUCAUUAUUCAUAGGACUUACUCAUGUUCUAGUAUACCAAGUGAGUGAGAAAAUUUAGUUCUCUUGAUGAUUUCCGCGAUGUCCAAGUUUCGACGCAACUCGUCACCACAUUUCUCUCCAGAGGCCAAGUGAGUGCAAACGAAGCAGAAUGUGGUUUGGUACAAUCUCAUGCUAAUAGAUAUCGAACCCUGUUAGCAUAAACCACAAAUUUACAAAAAUGUAAGCAAUGAAUCAUAAUCAUACCACUGUAGCCAGUACAUAGUCCUACUUCAUCUUGAAAUGUCACAUUUCCAUAGCAAAAUCUGAAGCAAUAGCUAAUUAAUUAGAACCAUUUUAUAGCCCCCCUCAUAUAUAAUUGUACAUAACACGCGCAUAUUGAACCACAUAUAUGACAUCAACGUGUAAUUUCUUUUAUACUAUCAAUCAAUCAUAAUCGUCAGAUCAUUUGACUUUUAACGAACCUUAUUUCCAAGGUAGCCCAUGAUGCCGGUACCAACGCGAGACACUUUUAAAUUGCCAACGUGGUUGCGAUAAUCGGCGCGUACCCACACGCACAAGAAGAUACCGACCAUUUGCUUGCUUGCUACUAGGCUAAAGCGUUUCUUUUGAUUUGGGAUUUCAUUGUUUGAGGUGUUUAGAGCUUGAUGAAUAAGGGCUAGCCACUUUGCUGCGGGGCCACUGUUCUCCGACCCAAGCACGUUCCCAGCAUUUAGUGGUACAAUUUCUUGGAACCUAAGAGAUCAAAAACAAGCCAAUACAACAAAAAUUAGAUUUACCUUUUUUUUUUUUAAUCUCCAAAAUCAAAAAGUACUCUAAUUUGGAUAAGUUGAAUCAUACAAAAAUAAGAAGUUGGUAACAGUUUAGUUUUACUAUUGAUAAACUUUACAUAAACAUCAAAUCAUAUUUUAUGAUCUUAUUCUUAUUACAUAAUAAUAUUAUACCGAUUAAAACAUGUUUAUGUGUACACAAAAAUCAUAAUUUUUUUGGCAUAUGCCAAACAACCUUUCAACAUCUUAAUGCUCUUAUUUAGGUCAUAAACUUGCACUAUUAAACUCGGAAUAAAAAUCAUAUCUAUAUGAUCAAACACAUAUGUUAGUAUAAUAUUAUGCGGUGCACUAUAUGCGGCACUUAUUUUAAAACGGAUGAAGAAAUUUAAAUACUCUAAAAUUGCAUAAAAUACUUGCACAAAAAAAAAAAAAAAACGAUAAUUAAAUAAUCAUUAAAUGAAGGUGCAAGAUCUAAAUACACCUAUUUAUAUUCAAAUGGUGGCUGUAAGAGUAUAGCCGUCGUAGAUAAUCCAUAAUCAUCAAGACAGAUGUUUUGAGUAAACUUGAACUCCUAAGAAUAUUUAAAGAGAUUUAAUUGAUGCAUAUAUAAAAGGUAAUAGGUGGAUUGAGUGGAAAUGAAAAAUAAAUAAAAUACUACAGACAAAGUAGUAGAUAGCCAAAUAGGGAACAUAGAUGAUAAGAUUAAGUAAAAAGAAAUAGUUAAAAUAAAAAAAUACCCAAUAACAUAUAUGUCAGCUGGCGAAGUAGAUAUCAGCCAAUUUUUCAAGUCCAAAUUUUCAUUUGGUGACUUUCCCCCAACAUUCCACGUCCCCACAAACAUCCUACACAAGAGUUAAUUCAAUUUUUUUAGAAGUCAAUAAUAAUAAUACUUCAGAAAUGUUUUGCUAAAAUAAGCUAGGCACAUAUUAUUAACUUAAAAUUUUAGGUUAGCCACAUGUUACUUCAAAAAAUAGGUAUGAUGGGAGCAUUUACCUAAGGUUGAGAGGAUUAGUGAUGGUAGAAGGUUUUAUCUCUCCAUGCACCGAACGUUUCACGCCAUUUGUAGAAUGCUUCAACCACCCUUCUUUGAAAACAAGGACCAAAUAUUAUUAAUUAGUCAGACAUCAACCCGAACCAAAAAAAUACAUUAACUUCAAAAAUAUAGUAAGUGCUGGUAUUAAACAAAAAAACAUAGGUUUUGGAAAAUUUUAAGCUAAAAACAUCCUAAAAACACCUAAAAAAUGCACCUAAGUCUAAUUAGUUGUAUCGAUUUAUCGAUAUCCUAGUUUUAUCUAAUUCACACAUAUAAAGUUUUUUCGUUCUAAAUUAAAGAAAUUAUGUUACUUAAGUACGAUUCUUCUGAUAACAAAUAUACAAGCUUAGCACUCUAAAAUUUGCAUGCCAAUUCUUCCAAAAAAAAAUAACCACUCCAAAACCAAAACACUAGAUCCAAGCAUAGCCGAAAUUAAGGAUUCACUAUUUAUUAAAAAAUAGAGAAUAUUUCAAAUCAUAAAACAAAGUGUUGGGCAAAUUACCAGAAAAAUUAUCUGGUACGAGGAUGUAACUAUCUUGGUCUGAGCAACUCUUUCUUGUUUCUGUCGCAGACCCUGAGUGAGUCCCACAAAGAUUAAACAAAAUAAUGUCUCAAUUUCAACACGAAAAACGUAAAAUGAAACCAAACUCAAAGAAAACCAAUCACAAUCUUAAUUAAAAUAAUUGAGUUUCACCUGUAACAGAAUAAUCUGAGGUAAACUUUUCAGAACUGUUCUUUGUACUAAGCCAAUUCUUCACGGCUAAUUUCGGCCAUGACUGCAGCAUAAAAUUAAAAAGAAAAAAAAAAGAAAAAAAAAGUUUAUGCUAUCAGUGAUAUUAUAUGAAAAAAGUGCAUUAUUAUUGGCAUAGCAAUAGAUUAAGACAGCAAGAGAAUGCGCAUACCUUAGAUUUUUUCGAUUCUAUUUUCAUUGCUCCUCCACUUUCAAGAUCGCUUAAAAACUGAUACAAACAAAUAAUAUAGCAAUUGAAUGAUCAGAAAAAUCUAUAUGGAUGUGCAAGAUGCCAACUAUUUUAAUAGCAAAUAUAUCAAAAUCUAUUAUGGAAAUCAUUAAAUUAAAUAAUUCAAUUAGAGUAAAUUUUUUAUUAAUGGAAGCAAGUUAAGAUUUUGUUAAUGUUUAAUAUCAUAAGCGAUUUUCUACGGAAAUAUAAAAGAACUAGUUGCAGGGAGAACGGGGACAGCUUUUGAGUAAAAUAAAUAAAUUCAUAUUACUAAUAUUUAAGAUAGAAUAGAUAAUAUAUAUAGAGAAAGUUCACCGUUUUGUUCAAAGUUUUGUGCUUUACAGAUAAAAAAAAACCCAUAUAUAUACUUGUAUAUAUAUAUAGGAUGAAUGAUUAGAGAGAAUCACAAAAGGGUUGAGUAUCUUUAAAACAAAUAUUGAAAAAGGUGCAACUUUUUUUAUGACUUUGCUCAUAUGCUACAAAGAAAUAUACUUACCAAUUUACCAAAGCAAAAAAAACAAUGAGAGUAGCUAUAUAAGUGAAUAAACCGCAGAUAGGAAGUUAUUAAAACGUGGGUCAAUGGCAUUGCUAUAAGAGAGUCAUGCGUGACGGUUUUUUGAGAAGCAAGAGAAAACUACUACUACUAUUAUAGUUUUUUUUGAAUGAAAAUGGAUGAGUAAAAUAUGAAGCUAUAGCACCAAAUAUAUAAGUGGAGGAAAAAAUUACUUACAAAAAUUGACCAAGAACGUGGGCGUAACGUAAGGUUUGAGUUUAAUGAGAGAAUGAUGGUGAAAAGACAAAGCUAUUUCUUAACCAAGCUUCAAUGAAUUUUUGUAAUGGAAGAAGGGAACAGAGAUGAAAGGAUAAGGGUAUAGUGUUUGAGAUUGAAAAGUGGAGAGGUUUUGAGUUCCUUGGGAAAGGAAAAAGGUUAUAUGAUUUGAGAAUAGGGGAUGGUGCACAUAACUUAAUUUUCUUUUAUAUAGGACUACGUACGUAAAACAAAUAAAUAUUAAAACAUUAAUGUAACUUUCAAAUAAGAUCUCUAAUUAUAAUAUCGAUUUUUAGAGGGGGAAAAACCACUUUAUAAGUGCUGUUCUGGCACUUUUGGGUCAAAAAAUUGUAACAUCAAAUCUUGGCCGUACACCUUUCGUGCAAGCCUAGUUGGCACUGAAUAAGUCUUUUGGUUUCGUGAAUGUAAGUAAGUAAGGGAGGAAGGGGAGGGAGAGGUUAUAACUUUUAAUAGAAGGAAGGAUGGGAAAUGUGAGAAAAAUUAAGCUAUAGGCUAUCUUAUAAUUGAUCGUUAAAAAACUCAUCUGAAUUAGCCUAGUGAUAUUGAUUUAGAAUCUGAUGGUGUGCUCUUCUUUAAGGUCCUAGGUUCGAUUAUGUCCAGUAUUAAUUUGAGUGAGUUAAUUUAACUUCUUACAAAAAAAAUGUUAAUAGAUUAAAAUUAAAGUGUUUAGUAAAAGUAAUAUUUGAAGUGAUUGAUAAAUGUAAAAUCACAUAAAAUAUAUGCAUGUUUAAUAUUUUAUAAACAAUUUUAAUUAAUAUAUUCAUCUUUAAAAAGAAUCAAUAUAUUUAUGUUAAAUGUUUUAAUUUAUUUCAAAGUACUUUUUAUCUUUAAAAUGAUAAUUGUGAUAUAUGAAUUCAAUUGAGUUUUUUUUAACAAAUCUUUUUGACGUGAUAAUCCUACUUUUUUUAUGGAACUUUUUUAAUUAACAAAUCUUUUUGACUUAAUAAUCAUACAUUUUCUCAUGGAAUUUAUUAAUUAAAAAAUCUUUUUGACUUGAUAAUCAUACAUUUUUUUAUGGAUUUUUUUUAAAUUUUAAGUGGUAAAUAUGUUUCAUUUAUAUAUGUUUCAAAAAACUUAUGAUUAAUAUAAGAUUAAGGCAAUGAGUGUCUACAUUAAGGGACGGAGGGAGUAUUUAAUUAUAAGCAGGAUAAUGGAGGGAAUUGUGGCGUGAAUCGUGAUAGUAUAGAGAUUGUGGCGUGAAUCGUGAUAGUAUAGAGAUCGACAGUUAAGAAGACCAGAAGGGUACUGUAUUAUCCGUAAGAAUGUCUUACACCAAAGUAGGGUACUAGCCUACUAGGGGUUUUCCAUGAAAGAUAUUGAAUCAUCAUGGAUAUUGUAGAGGAGACACUUUGGUUUAUGGGGUAGAAGGUGGCUUAGCUACAUAUAAGUAUCAAUCAGAGUUGGACAUGUUCAAUCCAGAAGUAUGAUGAUUUCUUUUGAAGGAUCAUGAAGAAUGAUGAUUAUGAUGGAUAUUGUAUUAUCAUGCAUUGUUGAUUAAUAGAAUAUGAUUUAUGUGUUAUGUUGGUUAUGUUGAUGUUGUUAAUGUCUAUAGUAGAGUUGUGUUAUCGGAACAACCAUUUGUAUGACAUCUUAUCGAAACAAUCAUAUGUUUGUAAAGAAAAUAAGAUAUUGACAUAAAAAUCAAAACAAUAAAGAGAAAAUAUAAAAACAUAAUGUGAGUAUGAGAGAGAAAGUUGUCCUAAAAUCGAUGUAGAAAUAUUAUUUCUCUCAAAAGUAUAUGAAUUAUUAUAUUCGGCUCAUUUACGCUAUUGACCUUGAUGCCUCACUUCAAUACGGUUUUUUCCCUGUAAUUACUUUUGCAACAUUUGUGCAGAUAGAUGAUAAGAUAUUGACAACUGAAAAAGAAAGCGAGACUAAGAAUAAAGAGUGAUCGACAUAACACAAUUACAAUUUACAUAGUUUUUUUCUCUCGCAUCGAUAAUGUAUACUAAUUAAAUUGAUUUUAAAAAGAAUAAUUUAGAAGUCAAAUGAGUUGAUAUAUAGAUAUAUCGUCUGACUUUCUGCUCAUGUUAGUAUUGAUUUGGGUAAUUUAAUUUUUUGGUUCAAGUGUAAUUUAAAUUUGAAAUUCUCUCAAUCCGCAGUGUUAGAAAUUACGCACGCACUAAUGUUCAUAAAAAAAAUAAAAAAUUACGCACUAACAUUGUAUCCAAAAAAAAUGCACGACAGAAUUGAAGGAUCAAGAAUAAAAAAGGAUAUACACAUAUUUAACAUGAAAGAAAAAAAGUUUUAAGAAAGAAAAAAAAAACCAUGGCUAGAGGAGAAGCUAAUUCACUGUAACUAAAAAUAUUUUCAAGAGAAAAAGUAGAGUUUGUAUUGUAAAAUUAGUGAUGAUCUCACUCACACCUAGCUACGUGAAUUUCCUAAGAUUUGGGUUCAACACGUGCCAAGUUUGUUUGCAAGGUCAAAGUUUGGCUAAAAUUAAAAUAUAAAGAAAAUCCAUUUAUUUAUAUGUAAAAUCCAUAUUUAAUUAGCCAUCUUUGCUAUCUAUAUCAUUCAGAUUCAAGGUUAAAAUGGACUAAGUGUGUGCCCCUUUUUAGAACAAGUUAAGAUUUAGAGCUAUUAAGACAAAGUGUCAUGCUCACGAUGUAGUUUACUGUCUUUGUGGCAUGCUCUCAAUAGUUACAUAAGAUUCUAAGGAUCAAGCCUAUAUCACCUAAUCCAUCUAAGUGACAACAAAAAACUAAGAUAAUCAUUAAACAAAACGAAAAGUAAUAAUUUUUUUUAUGCAAAAUAUACUCCAUUUCAUAUAUAAUAAUAAAGAAAGAAAAUAAAAUCCUAAUAGUGACAAUUUCAUACAAUUUAUAUAUGAUUAUUACACCAUUGUUUGAAAGAGACAUGAGAGCCAUCUAGCUUGACACGAAAGCAAGACCAGAUUUUAGUAGUCGCCAUAUACAAUUUACAACUUUGAAAAUGUGUAUCAAUACAUUAAAAACAAAUGUACUCUCCCUCUGUUAAUAUGUGUUCUAUUCAGUGUAUUUAUUUUUCUUAAAUUAUUUGCUUUUACAUAAUAUUAAGAAUACUAAUUAAUUCCUUUCAUAAGAAAUAUAGUAAUUAGAUUGUUUCGAUAAUACUUUCAUUUAUAUUCCUUUGAAACAAAACACUUUUAUUUAUCUUUUAUCUCAACUAACCUAUAUUAAUUGGUUUUUCCAUCUAACUCCUAUUAUAAUAAAGAGACUUUAGUCAAAGUAAAUUAUUUAUUUUACUUUAAUGCCAACGUAAAAAAUUCAGUUGAUCCCCUAAAAAAAACCUCGGUUGAUAGCUUGUGGAAUAUUUAACGUGUUACUGUUCAGAAUGUGUAAUUUUUCCCUUAAUUACACUUAAAUUGUAUGAUUUUAGUCACUAAAUUAUUUUAAAAAAACUUAACUAGUUCGGUUUGAUAUAUGAUUACCACCAUCUAUCAACGAAACAAAAUUAAACACGAGUUUCUCCUUAAAAAAAAAAAAAAAAAUUAAACACGAGUUGAUGUUGAAUGUAGUAAAAAACACAAUAAAUGAGGUUUUAAUUGGGUUUAUAUAAUCUUUUUGCAAAACUCAAUUUGACAAAAUUCCCUUUUGAAAUAUGAGUUAUAGAUGCUUUUUCACAUACGACGUAAAUAACAAGUUUAAGUAAAAGAGCUUGUGGAAAGAGAAGAUUUAUACUAGUUCACUAUCAACAUUAUAGCUAGUCAAUUCCUUUAUACAUGAAGGAUCAACCAAGUUAUAUUUUUCUUUUAUGAUUUUGCCGCAUUGUAUCCAAGAGUUAUUUCUUCCAUGAUAUAAACUUCUAUUUAUAGUGUCUGUGAGAGAGAGGAGGAGUCUAGGGCAAAAUACGAACAUUGAUUAAUUGUAUAGUCUCUGACGUCUCUUUUGAUGUUUGAUCAUACCUUCUUCAUGUACAACCUACCACUUCUCACCUUAUACUUUCACAUUCUCGUACUAAUUCCUCCUUUCAUCAAGAAUAAUUGUUUAUGAUAUGAAGAUGUAGUAAUUGUAUAUAAAGACGCAUGAAGACUAACGGUGUGUUGAUUGAAAAUAGCAAUAUGUUUAGGGUUUGGGUGUAUCUUUGCCCGAGUGUAUAAUUAGAUGAUUUGUAUAUUAUUUAGUUCUCAUUCUAAAACGGGUAUGACCUUAAGUUUGGAGCCAUCAAUUAAAAUUUCCAUUUAAGUCUAUAUAAGCAAUUAUUUUUUUGAAGCAAUCUAUAUGAGCACUUAUAUAUUUAAACAUAAUAUGCACCCGAAUCAACAAGCGACCUAGUGCUAUUUAAAAUACAUGUUUAUCUUAAGCAGACAAGUUAUAUUUCCAUGGACACGUAAACUAAUCAUUCCUGAUUUUAAUGGAAAUUUUGUAGACAUACGCAUUAAGAAAUCUUCCUUUUGACUAAAAAGAUCAAAAGGAACAUUAACAUAUAUAUUGCAAUAUCCAGGCCGGUUCUAUAUAGAUUACUUUUGAUAAAUUUCUUAUUAUCACGAGCCAGUAACGAGACAAAAUGAAAAAACGGGUCUUAUCAUAAUAAACCCUUUAUUGGAUUUGAAAUCUAAUAUGAUGUGUUAAUCCUAAUCAAAUAAAUAAUUCGAUCUCUUAAGAAUUUGGAUACGCUAUGUUUUUUACGCAAGGGAAGGGAAUGUCUCGUGAAAAUUCAUGUUUAGCUGGCUGCUGCUGACUCCCAUGAUUUCCGCCAAACAUAUAAUAAUGACAUUAAAAAAGUGCCACAUGAUGUGUAUUCGUUUCUUUGUUGACAGACUUCUAUAUAUAGCAUAGCUCACAUAUAUGUUGGUUCAGUGAAAUGGAGUUAGGGGAACCGUCCACAUAGAGGUUAGAAUAACUACACUUGCAAGAGAGACACCAGACUUUUACCCAAAACCUUAAGACUAUGGGUUUAUGGGUCCUCUUACUUAUAAGAUGUUCAACUUUUACUUUUUUAUUCGAUGUGGGACAUAUAACUUACACUUGCACACAAUAAUAUACGGGUUAAUAAACAAAAUGCAAAACAUAGACAAAAUUGAGUAUAUGGGUCACAUAAAAAAUUGAGUAUACGAGUGACACGUUUUAUAUACCUUUCAUCUAAUUGAAUAAUCAAAUUAUUGUCGAUUGCGAAAUUAAGAUGAUCAAUUAUUCUAAAAGAUCAGUCAGAGCGACAUAUAAGUUAAUAAUCAGACAAUCAUAAAACAUUGAGAAUGUAUCUUAACUCACAAUUUUAUUUUAUUUUUUGAAGAAUCUUAACUCAAAACAUGAUGAAGACCAAGGCCGUUCUUUGAGGAGUGCAAAGAGUUUAACCGAACUGGGUCUCCAAAGUGAUGGGCCUCAAGAAAAAAAUUAUUGCUCAAUAUCCCUACCCCCACUCAAAAAAGAAAAAUAAACAUGUUUCAUGUUUUAAUUUCUAAGUUAAAAAACACGUCUUUGUAAAAAUAAUUGUUAAUUUUGAUUUCGGUGGCUAAUAAUCAUUAUACGAGUGUUAUUCUCAAUUUAAAUAGAAGAUUAAUCUUUUAAAAAUAUUGUGAAUGUUUUUUAUUAAGUGCUUAUUUUUACUAUGAGAGUCGAGCCUCUAGUUUCAUAGGAACGGCUCUAUGAUGAAGACAAUAUAAUUAAGCUAUCUCCCCUAUAUGGCAAUGAAUUAUCACCCUCGGAUUCUUUUAAGCUUAAACUAUGACACCUAGAACUGGUUAAUUUGUACAAUAUCACUGUGAAAAUAACCACUUACCAUAUGCUUGAGCUAAGUCUGUAUGAAGUGACUUUUAUCUGAUCCAGUUGGAAAAUAAAAUAUACUGAUUUGUCUGAAAAUUAUAAUGUAAGGAUACCAUUUGUCCAUUCCUAAACUCUUAAAUACACUAUAUAUAUCACUUUAUUUCAGAUUACGACCAAUAUAUAUACUUUUUUGCCCCCUAGAUUGAUUACCAAAAACAUGAAACAGAUUUCGCAGGGUGAUCAUAUCUAAUCACCCAAAAUAAUCUAGAAGAGAUGUCACAAAGGACAAAUAAGUGCGAACCAUGUUUAUUUAGUAAAUUAUCGCCACUAAAAAGCAUAACAUGCUACACUUUUUUUAUAAAAUCAAAAAUCAAAAAAAAAUUAUUUGCUCUACAAUAUAAUUGCAAAAAUUGCACAAAAUUUUUUUUAAACAACCAUUUGGUUGACAACUUAUGGAACAAACAAAAUUUACAAAAAAAAAAUAGAUAUUUGUACGAAAACCAAAACAAUAGAGAGAUAAAGUAAAAAAUAAUGUGAGUAUGAGAUGGAAGGUUGUCACAAAAGUUGUCAAAAAUAAUUGUACAAAUAUCAUUUCUCUCUUAAAAAAUAUGUGAGUGGUUAGUUUGAAAAAAUUGUUAGCAGGAGAGUUUGAAGCGCCGUAACUCAUCCUGCAUUGUGAAAUCUUUUGGUUGAAACACAAUGUAACAAGUUCCCACAAUUGUCGAUUAGCGUUAAUGUUCUUAAUAUAUACUCCCUCCGUCCCGUAAUAAAUAACCUGUUUGAAAAUGUGCAAUUUUGACCUAAUUUAUUUUGACCAUAUUUUUCUACUAAUAUAUAAAGAUAAAUAAUAUCAUAUAAGAUGUCGUUAGAUUCGUCUCGAUGAGUAUUUUCAAAAUAUCAAAUUUUCAUAAUUUUUUCCAAUAUAUUAUUCAAGAUACUCCCUCCGUCCCUUAAUAAGUGAUCUAUUUGACCAUUUCACACAGAUUAAGAAAAGUGUAAAGAUAAAAGAAAGAGAGUGAUACUUUUACUGAGUUGCCCUUGUCAUUAUUUUGAAACUUUUUCACUUUUAAGUAAUGAUUACUUUCUUUGUUCCACUACAAACUUUAACAUGGGGACCACAAAAAGUAUUUAUAAGGGGUAAAUCUGUCAAAUUUUGCUUAGAAAUUUGAGAAGGUCAAGUAUUGUGGGACAAAUAUUUUUUACAAAUAGGUCACUUAUUCAAGGACGGAGGGAGUAUUUAAACUCAAAAUUACACAUUGAUAUGCGUAAUUGGGUCAACUGUGUCACUUAUUAAGGGACGGAGGGAGUAUAUAAAAGAAAAAAGAAGACAAAGUCGAAUGACUUAAAUCAUUACUGUAUUAUUGAGUACUCAAAAGAGAAAAGAGAUUUAAUCAAUUUUCCUUGUACCCAUUAUUGAUCAUCAUUUACCUCAAUUGGUGGGACCUUAAUUUCUCACUAACAUAUCUGCCGUACCCUUACUAACUAAUACUACAAUACAAUCCAUUUUACCGAAACAUGGAUUGGGACUACUACCUUCCUAAUCUGGCUUGCAAAAAUGCGGGACACAAGUUUUACUUAGAGGUUAGUACCAACCUGGUACACAAUUUUUGUGGUGAUUAGAGCGAUUCCUGAUUUUGCUUUAACGAAUUACAUACUAUAUAUAUAGUACCUACCUAGCUCAAUUAUGUGAUGUUUACUUACUAAUUAUUCUUAUACUUAUUAUAUUAUAUACAUCCAAACAAAUAAAAUUAAUAGAUUUUAAUCUUGAAUUGGAACAAAUUAGAAUAUAGAACACAUCUUUAUUAGGUCCAUCGAAUCACGUUUUACAAAUAAUUAGACCAAUUUUCCUCAAGGUUGUUUUUUAAACGCGUUCCUAUCCACUAAGUUAUUAGGUAUGAAUGUCAUGAUUAAUCGGUCAAUAACUGUAUUAGAUUAGGAUAUUCAUUAUUGAUAAAUUUUUCUGGAAUAAUCUUUCGAUGAUUGUAAUGAGUCUACAGCUUUUGUAGUAAUAACAAUGAAGCUUUUUUUAGUUAAACUCUUGCUGUCAUCUGCCCACUCCCAGAUUUUGGUACCAUUGACUUGUCUCACUCACCUUCUGUCACGCUUUUUUGUGGUUGUGCUUAUCUUAGUUAACCUCGACCUAACCUGCGAAUUAGAUUGCUAUGAUUUUGAGACUUAGUUUGUUUCUUUCCGUUUCAACAUCCUUCAAAAUUAAUUCUCAUACGUUCAAAAGUGAAAACUACCAAUUUUAAUAUAUUUGUUCAACUUCUCAAAAUUAAUUCUCAUCUUCAAAAGCAAUUUUGGUUGAAGUUAUAAUUCUUAACUUUUGAGUUUAUUGGAAUCAAUUCUCCACUAGAUUAGCCUCAGAAAAUAUUUCUUGUCAUGAGUUACCAAAUUUUAAAUUUUUCCGUCCAAAUUUAAUGUAUUUUUUCUUUUACACUAUUAAUUUUUUUUUUUUUUUUUAUCAUUUUUAACAACCAGCUCUAUUAGUAAGUAUUUAACUUAAAUAUAUUUUUAUCAAAAUAUAUAAAAUACAUAGAACAAAUAUUUUGUCUAAAAAUUUUUAGUUUAACAAUCGUAUUUAUUAUUUUAAAAUUAAUAUAUAGAAAAAUUUAUUUAUUUAAAUUAAAUAUUAUAUCUGCAUUUAAUAUUAGUCUACAUAUACAUUAUAUUUAACUAUGUCCAUUUAAGUAAUCAUACAUUCAAAAAUAAUUUUGAUCAAAACUAUCCAAACAACAUUCAUUCCGUUUAAUCAAUUAUACGUUAUUGUAUCUAAACAUAAAUCAAUUCUCUCAAAAUCAAUUAUUUUAGAAUGAAAUUCUAUCAAAAGUUCAACCAAACACAAACUUAGUAUAAUGUGACUUUUCUUUUUUGUUAAUCCAUUUUUAGAUGGUUUGGUAAACUGGAGUUCAACGGUAAAAUAAGUAUUAUCUAGCAAAAAGUUAUUUCACACAGGAAUUAAAUUUAGAUUCUUUCACACUUUUAAUUUUUUGGUUAAACUUAUCAACCACUUGAUUCAAAUUGUUUGAUUAGCUCAAAUGACAUUAUUUGAUUAGUUUAUCAUGAACUCUGGUGUAUCCACUCCUUUUCUUUUUUCUUUUUAAAAUUACGAUGUAACGAUUGAAUUCAACUUUGACACUUUUCAUUCUAAGUUAUUUUUAAAGUAGACAAAGUUAACGAUAUUGAUUAUUGAUUAUGUGGAUUGGCGUUAACAAGUUUUUAGAGAUUGUACUGUACAUAUGUUUUAAUGGUUGUAGGGGUUUAAUGGAUGAUUUUUAAGGGAUAUUAUGCGGGGAAAAUUCUUACAACAAUGAGCCAUAGAAUCAAUAAAAAAAAAAUUAAAAAAAAAUGGAAAAUGUUAACUACUACUCCGGGGCACCGAUUAAGGAAAUAAAUAGAGUAACUUUUGUAUUGGAAAUUGUGUAAUCAAUUUUCAAAAGUAAAAAUUAAUGUUACUUUUAAUUCAAAUUUUCCUUUUUUAAAUUCCUUAACCAGUGCCCCGGGAGCACCGGUUAACAUGACCCAUUUUUAUAAUAAUUUAAAGAACCAUAAACUUUAAUUCUGUAUUUUUUUAAAGAUAAAUAUUACUCCCUCCGGUUCUUAUUAUAAGAAACAAUUGACUUUUUAGAUUCAUUGUGUAACUGAUGUAUCUAGUCUAUAUUUACAACAAGAUACAUGAAUUACUCAAUGAAUUUAAGAAGACAAAAAUUUCUUAUAAUAAAGAUCGAAGGGAGUAAUUGUUAUUUUGUUAGGGGAAGAAGUUAAACCCAUGGCCAAUGCCCUCCUCAGUCCUCCUCACUCUAACCCUUAUGUUCAUAAUCAAAACCACCAAUUUUCCUUAAUUAUCUUCACUCCUAUGCCCAUCACAUCAAUUAUCGCUCGUGUUGUUUAAUUUGAAGAAAAAUCUAUCGCUCGUGUUGUUCAAUCACAUACAUCAUUAAUUAAAUGAACUUAAAAAAUUCAAUUUUGUUUAUAUUUAAAAACGGAGGGAGUACUUCUCACACUGUAAUUGCGGAUUUUCUUUUUCCAGCAUGAUUGGGGUGGGUGGUUUAGGAAAACAAAGAAAAAAAGAUUGGCAUUUAAUUUGGUUGCGGACUUGCGGUGGUAUAUUAGUAUUUGGUUAUUAAUUGAGAAACAAAAUUAUGCUUGAGAAUAGGGUUGCUGACGGUGUAGGUACGUAGAAAAUUUUGAUUAUGGUAGUAUUAAAUUCAGUUGAUUAUGAUAAUAUAUAUAAUAUAUGUAAGGUCUGAGUUCAAACUCCGACCCCCCCAAAAAAAAAAAAAAAAAAGAUUAACCUCAUUUUAUCUUAACUAAUCAAUAAGCCUUGUUGUUAACUUAUAACCUAAGAUUCGUAUCUCGCCUUAAGCAAUUUCUAAGUUUUUAUUUCAUAAAUGAAUUCUUGCUAACAAAAAAUCGAUUACUUAAACUGUAAUUCAUAAAAUCCAUUCAAAAACCUAAAAAACGAUUAGUUUAAACUCGCUUAUGUUGGGGUAAUUAAAGCUCAUGAUACCAAAUGUUGGAACGACUAAUGCUACCAUUGCUAAUUCUUUUGUUAUUUAUGGAAGAAGAAGAAAAUGAAGUUUAUAAAGGAGAGAGAAAAAUUAUGAAAUAAAAUUGAUCACUUCACUUAUGUAUGAUUUUCACUUUACAAUGAUGAGUUCACUUUCCCUCAUAUGAUAAACUCUUUCAUUUUUCACUAUAUCUAUUCUUUUAUUUUUGUACACACACUACAACUAUUUAUACACUUUACAAGACACUUCUUUUAACCAACUAAAUAACAAACCGUUUUUUCCCUGGUCGAACAACUAACAAACAGUUAAAACUAACUAAUAACUAACUGUCACUACAUAAGAUUCUGAGCUCAAUAUUCUGAACUCUAACACUUCCUAUUUUCACUACAAGUAACAUGUAAUGGAGUUCAAUAAUUCUAUUACAGAGAACUCGGCAACACAAAGGAAAUAAUCCUUAAGUACAUGAUAGAAGUGAAAUUGAAAGAUAAAGAAGGAUAAAGGGGAAAAGAGAAUAAGAAUUAUGAGAGAAAGAGAAGGAGGGUCAGAAUUUCAUUAACAUAUUCAAUGCCCUCUUUCAAUGCUUUCUUUCCCUUAUAUAUAUAAGCCUUGUUCACUUCUUGAUGUACACCUUUCAUCCAAUACUUGCCCACGUGUCUUUACAACUAUGACAAUUUGUUAGUUUUCAUUUGAUGACAUGGCUUUCUCUAUUUAGGAUCAUUACAUAACUUAUUAUAAUUGACUAAAUUGAAUUACAACUCACAGUUUACAAGAUUUCUUGAAAUUUCGUAAACAGUGGAAUAUACUCUGGUUUUCGAUUUUGAUCGGUAAAAAAUUGAUUUCUUUGAGUGAAUAUAACAUUGUAUGGUACAUCCUAAUAAAAUUGAUUGAAAAAAGUGUUUAUUAUUUUUAUAAGUAUCAAAAUGCCCCUUAUUAGAGAGAUAAAAUAAAUAGAGAUGAAAGAAAUGUUUGUUAUAGUGAUAAGUACCAAAAUGCCCCCAAUUAAAAAUCUUCAAUCAAAAUUAAUUUUUUAAAUAACUUAAGGGAAAUGUUAACCAAUGCCUCGGGGGCACUCGUUAAGGUAGCAAAUAUAGUAGCUUUUGCAUUGAAAAUUGUGUAAUCAAUACUUCAAAAGUCAAAAAAUGUCAUUUUUAAUUUAUUUUUUCCUUUUUUAGAUACCUUAACAUGUGCUUCGGGAGCACCGGUUAACACAACUUAACCCAUAACUAAAGGAAAAUGUUACAUGAACACCCUUUAAUCAUACAUCCUAUUGUACACCCCAUGCAUUAGGGACAUUUUGGUAAUUUCAUCUCACAACCAUAUUUUCUCUUUCAUCUCCUCUCACUUUUCCUUGCCACAUGUCAGGAUUUUGUGUGGGUGUAAGAGGUGUAUUGCCACAUGGGGGUGUACAUGUAUCACCACUCUAACU